This 73137-nucleotide long non-coding RNA is filed under the name Triticum aestivum (bread wheat). RNAcentral's name for it is "long non-coding RNA (TAES_LNC005773)". Lineage: Eukaryota; Viridiplantae; Streptophyta; Magnoliopsida; Poales; Poaceae. The record is from RNAcentral.
UACCUCGCCGCCGUCCUCGAGUACCUCGCCGCCGAGCUGCUGGAGCUCGCCGGCAACGCCGCCAAGGACAACAAGAAGAGCCGCAUCAUCCCGCGCCACCUGCUGCUCGCCGUCCGGAACGACGAGGAGCUCGGCAAGCUGCUGGCCGGCGUCACCAUCGCGCACGGCGGCGUCAUCCCCAAGAUCAACCCCGUGCUGCUCCCCAAGAAGACGGCGGAGAAGGAGGGCCAGGCGCCCAAGUCCCCCAAGAAGGCCGCCAAGUCGCCCAAGAAGGCCGCCACCCCGAAGAAAGCUUAAGAGAGAUGCGCUCUCUGUCGUUUAGGAUGUGUGCUGUGUAGUGUUCGUCUGAUUAGUGAUGUGAAGGUGUUCCGUCUAGUUGUUGAUGUACCCUGUGUUGUGUUCAUGUUCAUGGAAGAAAUUCAGUAAUCUCUCUGAAUUCCCAAAUAUGCUGCUGUCUCUUUGAGUCAUUGCACAGGAGAUUUGAAUCACUGACGCGUCACCUGUUGCCCGUGUGGCUGAAAUUGGCAAACGAAUUUUGACAGAUGGCAGUUGUUCGGCUCAUGCUUGUGGAUUCAGUUUACUGCUCUGGAGGAGUAUUUGAGAAAGCAACAGCAGAGCGGUAAACUAUGCACAAAAACGGAGCAGUGAACUGAAUCUGGAUGCAAAUUGCGGUAAAAAACACUUCCUAUGAAUUUGUGUCGGAGGGAAUUGAAUAACCUGUCAAUGCCUGACAUCGUUCGCUGUGCGGAAGCGAAUAGCAUCCAGCACAACAAACGGUUCACGCCACAGAAGUCGCCUUGUCUCGGCUGGACCCUGUGAUUCCGGAAGUUUGCACGGAGGCAGACGACUCCGGGCUGUUCAUCGGCUGGGUGCAGGUGCAUCAUGCCCUUCACUACCGGGGAUUAAUUUCUGAACAGGAGCGACGGAUGGAGAGGGUUGUCCUAGCAAAUCUCUGUAAACAGUAUUCGCUCCGUUCGGAAAUAAGUGACGCUGUCAGUGAUGCCAAAAUGCUCGACCCAGCUGCGACCUGAUGGUUGGCAGCAGCAUGUAAAAACUGGCUGUUUUCAUCUCCUGCAACACACCAUCUGAUCUUUGCUCUUCUUCGCUACAUUGCAGUCUGCCAGAGAGUCAGCUUCUCAGCCUUUGCCGAAGCAAACUUACUGAAGGUGAACCCCAGCCCGUUUGUUAUUGUCAAUUGGGACGGACCAGAGUAAGUUUGGAGCCCUGAUGCGCCCCAAUUGGCCUGAACAACAACGCCUUUUGACGGCUCCAAUUCCUGAGAGCAGCCCUGAAUCCCCUGAUGCGCCCCAAUUUUAAGCUGAUUAGUGAGGUUGACGAGCUGAUGUGCCUGGUGCCCCUAGCCCACCCUUCCUGUAUAAUGUUUCUGGUUUCCUCCAUGUCCACCCAGUGGUUUUCAAACCGAAAUAAUCUGCAUUUUGGUGUCUCUCUGUUAAACUCCACCAAGAUGGGUGUCUGAUCCGAUGUAAUAGCAGUCUCAACCCUAGCAGAAGUUUGGAGGAAGCAUAAAUUCCAAUCCGCAUUGACAAGCACCCUGUCUAGACCAGAGUAGGAUUCCUUCUCUUAUUUGAACAGGUAAAAAUUCUAUUGGCGACGUCAAUGUCAUCCAGAGCAUUGUCAAUUGAUGCGGCAACUGGACUUCUCAUGAUCAUAUCUAUAUAUACAUGUUAAAAUCUCUCACAAUCAUCCAUGCUUCAUUGACAGAGCAGGCAAGUUGAUCCGUGACUUGGACAAAACGACCUUUCUUGGUUACAAGGAGCAUAAACAGUGGUUAACAGUGCUGAUAAGUUGCUUGAAACUGAGGAUACCUGGACAGUGCUACGGAAUUUAUGAGUAUGACAGGUGACAUUCGCCUGAUCCUACGCUAUCGAAAUCCCACCAGAAGAUAGAGCAUGCGAGUGCAGUCGACUUGGAAGAAGAGAUUUGAUCUUGAACAUGGAAAUAUCCUCGAGCUUGGUUUUCUGAAAACAAACAACAUUUGGGCCGCAGGAGGUUAUGGUAUUACAGACGAGCCAACACUUGUCCACAUUGCCAAGACAACGGACGUUUCAGUUUAGGAAUUUCAUCAGAGCAGUAAAAAAAACACGCCUUUUGCUUCGGUACACCCCCUUACAAGUUUACACGAAUCUUAAAGUUAGAACGCCGAUAAGUGCCACACGUGUGGGCAUUAGGGAGUCCGCCCACACAUUUUAUAUGGUGUAUAAGAGGAACAACCCACACACCUACGUGUGGGCAAAACAAUUAGCGCCCACACGCCUCUUUUUUUCCCUCCCAUUCCUCUCACACGCGUGCGUGUGGGCGAAGUUGAUAACGCCCACACGCCCGUAUGUCAGGCCUCGUACCUCCUGGUCCCGCACGCCACGCGUGACGGUCACCGCGCGCCCGCAGUUGCCAUGGUCCAGACCCUCGUCCAUAUUCGUUUAAUUGCAGUUGCCAUGUCGCUGAACUACGGUUGCCAUGUCGGACAACUGCAGUUGCCAUGGUUGCUCAAUUGCAGUUGCCAUGUAUGGUCUGAUCUAAUGUAGUUGCCAUGAUUUCAUAACUUUAGGAGUUGCCACAUACUAACACUAGGUAGUUGAGAGAGUUACCAUGUGCUCACAAGCAUGCUAGGGCAGUUGCCAUGUAAAAAGAAAGAGUUGCCAUCUGCUUACGUGCACGUUAGGGCAGUUGCCAUGUACAUGCACGUUAGGGCAGUUGCCAUGUAUCAUGCAAAAACAUAUGGCAACUCGGUAAAAGAAAAUUGCCAUCUGCUUACGUGCACACUAGGCAGUUGCCGUGUACCCUGCAAAACACAUGGCAAACUCGGGUAAAAAAGAGAGUUGCCACCUGCUUAUAAAAGCACACUAGGGGCAGUUGCCAUGUGCAGUGCAAAAACACAUGGCAACUAGCAGCUUGGGUGUGGGAGAGGAAAAUGACGUGUGGGCAAGAUGCCAAAUGCCCACACACUAGCUCUUGUGUGUGCGUGCAAAGUGGCGUGUGGGCGAACUGCUGAACGCCCACACACCAGCCCCUUCUGUGUGGUGAAACGGCCGUGUGGACGACCGACUGAACGCCCACACACCAGGCCAGUCCUACAUGGCACUAGAAAUAUGCCAAAAUUCGUGCGCUCACGAACGGACGCGGAUCCACACGUGUGGGUGCCCACACGUGUGGGCGUUAACAUUUCCGUAAAGUUACUUAAAAAGGCUAUCGCCAUAUUAGCCUGCAGAUGAAACAUAUAGAAUAGAUUUAUUUGGAUGUAAAAGACUAUAUUAUCCUUAUUGAUUAAAGGGGUAUCUUCUAAUCUUCACUUUUAAUCUGCAUUAAAAUCCGUAAACUUUUCUAGAAGGUGUACCGAAGCAAAGUUCAUAGCAUUAAGCCAUUAAGCCAGAACGAAGCAGAGGAGGAUGAUUGCAGAGAGCGGUGUAAACAAGGUAUCAAAAGUCAACAAUUUCAUUCCCAAAUGGACUAACAGAGUACAAAGUCCAAACGAUGAUGCGGUACAGGCUCUGAAGGAGCAACACACUGAAGGACACAAGUAAAAGAUAACUGCUAUCUGCUCGACAAUCCAUAGGAGCCGAAGCAAACUCGAUGACACUUGAACUGAGAAGGAAGGCAUAGGACACUGACGAAGCAGAGGUACCUCUGAUGAGCACAUGUAAUCCACAUGUAUGGGCGCACCUAUGCCUCGCUUAUAGCAAGACAUAGGUUGCAGUCGCAUCAGGCUUCUCACUAAAUGGGCCGGCCCAGCGCGGGAGGCCACUGGCUUGUUUUUUUUCGUUUUCUAUAUUUUUGAAACUUUCAAAUAUUUUAGAUGUACAUUACAGAAACACUUACCAUAAGGCAUUUUAUAGAAAAUGUUAAUUAAGCAUUUAAAAAUGUUAAAUGUGUAUGGAGAAAAUGUUUCUCAUAUAAAAAAACAUACAAUGUGUAUGAAAAAUGUUGAUCACGAAUUUAAAACAUGUUAAUCGAACAUUUGAAAAAAAAUAUUAAUCAUGUAUUUGAAAAAUGUUAUCAAGCUUUUGAAAAAUGUUAAAGGUGUAUAAAAAAUGUUUUACAUCUAUACGAAAACUAUAUAUAAAACAGAAAAAAGUGUGUACGAGAAAUGUUGAUCAUGUUGUUAGAAAAUGUUAAAUGUGUAUAGAGAAAAUGUUUCUCAUAUAUAUGAAAAAUUUAUACAAGAAAUAGAGAAUAUCCAUGAAAAUGUUGAUCACAUAUUUUUUAAAUGUUAAUCCAGCAUUUGAAGAAAAUGAUAAUAAAGUAUUUAAAGUAUAUUAAUCAAGCAUUUGAAAAAUGCUAAAUGUGUAUUAAAAAUGUUUGUCAUAUAUAUGAAAUAUAUAUACUACAAAACAAAUACAAUGUGUAUGAAAAAUGUUGAUCAUGUUUUUAAAAAUAUUUUAAAUGUGUAUGUAAAACAUGUUCUCGGAGUAUACAAAAAAUGUAUACUGUGUGUGGAAAACUGUUUAUUGCCACUAAAAAAAAUCCCCGCGUAUUGAAAAAUGUAGACCAUGUGUUAGAAAUAAUGUUAAUCUUGUAUUUACAAGAUGUUAAACGUGUAUAUACAAAUGUAUUAGAUAUAUAACAUAAAUGUACAUAUGUAUGCAAAAUAUUAGUAAAAAAUGUAUUAGUUAUGAAAAACUGUUAAUAAUAUAUUUUAGUAAUAUUAAACAUGUAUAUAAAUAUGUUUCUGAUGUAUACAAAAAAUAUAGAAUGUGUACUGAAAAAUGUUUGCAUGUGUUGAAAAAAAGAAAUCGAUGAAAAUCUACAAGAGAAACAAAGGAACCCAAUAAAAACAAAAAAACAUAAAAAAGAAAAUGAAAAAGAAAGAAAACCAAUGCAAAAGAAUGGAUGCAAUGAAAACCAAGAAAGAAACAAGAAAAAACGAAGAAAGCCAAUGAAAACCAGGAAAGAAAUAAAGAAAACCAAAACAAAAUAAAAAAAUGGAAAUGAAAGAAAAAACCCAAUGAAAAUGAAGAAAGAACAAAAUAAAACCAAAAAAAGAAAAUAAAAAAGAGUAAAAGACUGGAAUAUAGCAAAGAAAACCUGUAAAGAAUAAAGGAAAAAACAAAAAUGAAGAAACCUACGAAGAAUCAAAAAGCCAGAAAGAACAAAGAAAAUGAAAAAACACAAAUAAAACUGAAGAAAAAAAACUAAAAUAUGUGAUAUAUACAAAGCCUGUUUCACAUAAAGGAAUCAACGGCUUUACCAGUGAUUUAAUAUAUGCAAAGCCUGUUUCAUAUAAAUUAUGAAUUCUUGUGAAGAGCAUGAUAGAUGCAUAAAUAUGCAAAUAAUACACACGGAUAUGAAGCUGUCAAGAUCUGAUAGGAUGAAGGCUAUACUACAAGCCAAGAAUGGACAAACACCGAAUUGCCAUUGGUGUAAAAUAAAAUGUGCUAAUUUGAUUAUUGACUCUGGUACAAUUGGAAGACUAUUGGAAAUAUGCCCGGGAGGUAAUAAUAUUGUAUUAUUAUAUUUCCGUGUUCAUAAUUUAGAGUUUAUAUUUCAUGAUAUAACUGCUAUGAUUCUAGAAUAUGCGAUUAAGUGGAAAAAUUAUAUGCAUGUAGCGACCAGACCUCAAACGGUCCAAUCUCUGUGAUCCGGUGUCAUCCCUGGAUCAGUAAUGCUGACACCACACAGUACUUGAAGGAUUUAUAAUAGAGUAGCAAUCACACACUUAUUACAUCGACUGUCUCAAUAGAGAACUUAUUACAAUAAAUAUGGCUUAAGGCCAUCUAAUAACGAUAACAGCGGAAGGCUUGGAAGAUAAAUGAGUCCAUCAACUCCAACGGCAUCACUAAGUAUAGAACCACGAACUAAAACUCCUUAGUCAUCGUCUGAAAAGUCUGCAACAUUAACGUUGCAGCCCGAAACGGGUCAGCACAUGGAAUAUGCUCGCAAUGUAACACAUAGAGAGUAAUGGAAAGAAACAGUUAUUCUACAUGCAUAUUUGGCUGGUGGAAAGCUCUAUGAUUACAGUUUUGCGAAAAGCUAAUUUUUCCCUACUGCAAAGGAAUAAAUUUAUUUAACUAUCAUGGUGGUUGUUAAACAUUGAGAAUGGUUGACAGCAUUCUUAAUCCCAAUUAAACAUCAUCAUUAAACAAACCCAUCAAAAUUAGAUUUUAUAGUAACAUGUUGAGAUUCACAUGAUAAUCCAGGUACUAGAUACUCAAGAUGUCCAUAACCGAGGACACGGCUAACCAUGAUUAGUUUAUACACUCUACAGAGGUUUGCGCACUUUUCGUCACAAGACUCGAUCUCCUUCGUUGGAUUUCUUGCACUACAUGGUGUUCGAGAAACGAAUGACCGAGACAUAGUCUUUCAGAAGCGCUAGCACCUUACGAUGGGUAGACCGUACCACCUACAUCCCCUACAUCUGCUAGUCUACUACUGUAAGAGUUCGUACGACUUAGUCAACUAUGCUAGAGCCCAUAAUAGCUUGUGGCUGCACACGGAAGUUUCUAGCAUGAAUAAUCUCAUGAUUCCUUUGAACCUGAGUGGCGGUCCAAAAGAAAACAGGCAAUCCUGGAAUACCCAGGUACCUCAAUCCACCCAGAUGUGUGUUUAAGUUGCCACCUUAAAUAAACCAUUAAUUAACCAACUCACAUCUGUCAUGGAUACACUCACCCAAUCCACGUCUACUAGCAUAGCAUAGCAUAAUAAGCAACGUAGAAGUAACUCCCAAAGGUUUGAUAAUAAACAGGUAAUAGGUACUACCUCAACUACUUCCCAAACCCACAAUUUAAUUAGAUCCUAAUCAUGCAAUGUGUAAGGAUUGAUCUAAUGCAAUAAAACUGGGUAGUAGGAGGUAUGAUCAAAGUGUUACUUGCCUUGCUGAUGAUCCGGGAAACCUAGCGAUUCGAAGUAACAAGCGGCGCACUCCGGGUACUCUAUCACAAACAAACAAGCACACAAUAAGUACUCAACUGAUGCACAGGUAAAACUCAAAUAAGAGAUCUAACCAGAAGGUUCAACUUAAGAACUCCGGUUGGCAAAAAGAAUCCAAUCGAACGAAGCAACGAAAGACAAACAACAAAAGAAACAGGCUUCGUUUACUAUUCUGGAUCUAUGGCAAUUUUUACAGAAGAAAAAACUUGUUUAAUUUGGUUAAACGGAAAGAGCGUUUCGAGACGAAACUCCAGGCGCUUGAAUCGCCUGAUUCCGACAAACCAGCGAAAAGUUAUACUAAAACGAAAAUCGGAUCAGAAAUCGCGAUCAGAAAUAAUCGCGGAAAAUCCGAGGAAAAGAAAAACGACGAAUAGAUUAACGAACGAACGUUCGUUAUCUGGAUCUAAACGACGAACACAUUCGUUAAAACGAAUGAACGAGCGAACGCUCGCUAAAUAAACUAAACCGUAAAAAAACCGUUCUAAUAAAAAACGGAUCUAAGAAAACCGCGUUUUUUAAAAAAACCGGGCGGUUUUCUGAGGAAAACCACCGGUGACGGUGGCUACCUCGGGCGGCGGGGCGGCGGGGUCAGCGGCGAGGCAGGGCGGCGGCGAGGAGGCGCGGCGGGGCGGCAGCGNNNNNNNNNNNNNNNNNNNNNNNNNNNNNNNNNNNNNNNNNNNNNNNNNNNNNNNNNNNNNNNNNNNNNNNNNNNNNNNNNNNNNNNNNNNNNNNNNNNNNNNNNNNNNNNNNNNNNNNNNNNNNNNNNNNNNNNNNNNNNNNNNNNNNNNNNNNNNNNNNNNNNNNNNNNNNNNNNNNNNNNNNNNNNNNNNNNNNNNNNNNNNNNNNNNNNNNNNNNNNNNNNNNNNNNNNNNNNNNNNNNNNNNNNNNNNNNNNNNNNNNNNNNNNNNNNNNNNNNNNNNNNNNNNNNNNNNNNNNNNNNNNNNNNNNNNNNNNNNNNNNNNNNNNNNNNNNNNNNNNNNNNNNNNNNGCACAGAAAAACUAAUGAAAGAAAUACUAAACGGACUCCAAAAAUCCCGAAAUAAAUUUUCCCCGACUUCUAAAAUCAAGCCGGACGAAGUGAACAUUUAUUUGGGGCCUAAAUGCAAUUUUUAAAAACGCAUAUUUUUUCCUAAAUUCAAAUAAAUUAGCAAAUAAAACCAAAUAAAAUCUUAUUUGAUUUUUUUAUUAAAUCCUCAGUAUUUCUUUAUUUUGGGAAAGUCAUUUUAUUCCCUCUCUCAUAUUUUUGUAGUAGAAAUAAUUGAAGAUAAAAUAAAUAAAAUCAAAGAUCCUAUUUUCAAAAUUUGAGACAACUCAAAUAUGAAAAUAACGAAAUCCCCAACUCUCUCCGAGGGUCCUUGAGUUGCGAAAAAUUUCUAGGAUCAGCCAAAAUGCAAUAAAUAUGAUAUGCAAUGAUGAUCUAGUGUAUAACAUUCCAAAUUGAAAAUUUGGGAUGUUACAAACCUACCCCCCUUAAGAUGAAUCUCGCCCUCGAGAUUCAGGUUGGCUAGAAAAUAUGUGAGGAUGGUCUUUCAGCAAUUCUUCCUCUCGUUCCUAGGUGGCUUCAUCCUCCGAGUGGUGGCUCCACUGAACCUUGCAAAACUUGAUAACCUUGCUGCGGGUGACUCGAUUGGCAUACUCUAGAAUCUUAACUGGUUUCUCCUCAUAGGUCAAAUCACUGUCCAACUGAAUUGCUUCCAGUGGUACCAUAUCUCUCAGCGGUAUGUCAGCCAUCUCUGCGUGGCACUUCUUCAACUGGCACACAUGAAACACGCCGUGAACUCCUGACAGUCCUUCGGGUAAUUCCAACUUGUAGGCUACUUCUCCCAUACGUUCCAAAACUUUGUAUGGGCGUACAAAACGUGGCGCUAGUUUUCUCUUAACUCCAAAGCGGUUAACUCCUUGAAGUGGUGAUACUCGAAGAUAAACUCGGUCUCCAACUUCGUAAACUGUCUCCUUGCGUUUAGAAUCUGCAUAACUCUUCUGCCUGGAUUGAGCUACCUUUAGCCUGUCACGAAUUAAUUUCACUUUCUGUUCAGAUUCCUUUAUCAGAUCCGGUCCAAACAACUGGCGAUCUCCAACUUCAUCCUAGGACAGUGGGGUCCUGCACCUCCUUCCGUACAAGACUUCGAAAGGGGCCAUCUUCAAACUGGAUUGAUAGCUGUUGUUGUAAGAGAAUUCUGCAUACAACAAAUUCUCGUCCCAACUAGAUCCGUAAUCUAGCGCAUAAGCUCUUAGCAUAUCCUCCAAGAUCUGGUUGACUCUCUCAGUCUGUCCAUCUAUCUGCGGGUGGAAAGCUGUGCUAAACUCUAGUCUGGUUCCAAAGUCUCAUGCAACUGAUUCCAGAACUUGGAAGUGAACUGGGCUCGUCUAUCUGAUACAAUGCUCCUUGGAACUCCAUGCAGACAUACGAUCCUGGUCAUGUAUAUCUUUGCCAACUUUGCACUGGUAUAGGUAGUCUUCACUGGAAUGAAAUGAGCUACCUUUGUCAAACGAUCGACUAGAACCCAUAGCGAGUCAUAGCCUGAAUGUGUUCUAGGCAAUCCUGUAAUAAAAUCCAUGCCUAGCUUAUCCCACUUCCAUUCGGGUAUCAACAAUGGUUGUAGCAAUCUUGCUGGCUUCUGAUGCUCUGCCUUCACUCUCUGACAUACAUCACAAACUGCUACGUACUCCGCAAUAUCCUUCUUCAUUCCGGUCCACUAGAAAAUAUCCUUCAAAUCCAAAUACAUCUUGGUAUUUCUUGGGUGAAUCGAAUAUGGUGAAUCAUGGGCCUCUUGUAAAAUUAACUUCCUGAUCUCUGAAUCAUUUGGCACAUAAACACGGUCUUCAAAACAUAUCGUAUCGUGCUCAUCCUCACGAAAUCCCUUAGCUUUUCCUUUGCUAAUUUUCUCCUUAAUAGAAGCAAUCUCCUUGUCAGUCCUUUGGGCUUAUCUAAUUUUAUCCAUCAAUGUAGACUGAAUUUCCAAUGCUGCUACAUAGCCUCUCGGGACUAUUUCCAAACAUAGCUCUCGAAGAUUUUCGGCUAAUUCCCUUGGUAAAUCUCCCGUCAUUAAGGUGUUGACGUGGCUCUUACGGCUCAACCCGUCAGCUACUACGUUAGCCUUUCCAGGGUGAUAAUGCAAUCUCAUAUCAUAAUCCUUGAUGAGCUCCAACCAUCUCCUUUGUCUGAGAUUCAACUCCUUCUGUGUGAAAAUAUACUUCAGACUCUUAUGAUCCGUAUACACUUCGCAAUGGUUUCCAAUCAGAAAAUGUCUCCAAGUCUUCAGUGCAUGCACUACGGCUGCUAACUCCAAAUCAUGCGUAGCAUAAUUCAACUCAUGAGGCUUAAGCUGUCGUGAGGCAUAUGAAACAACUCUCCCUUCCUGCAUAAGCACUGCUCCAAGUCCUCGACGUGAAGCGUUGCAAUACACCUCAUAAUCCUUGGUCUGGUUUGGCAAAAUCAACACUGGUGAGGUAACCAAACGUUUCUUCAACUCCUGAAAACUAGCCUCACAUUCCUCUGUCCAUAUGAACUUGGUAUCCUUCUUCAACAACUCUGUCAUAGGCUUCGCAAUUUUUGAGAAAUUCUCAAUAAACCUCCGGUAGUAUCCUACGAGUCCAAGAAAACUCCGGAUCUCUCCCACGGUGGUUGGUGCUUCCCACUUGGUCACAGUAUCAACUUUAGUGGGAUCUAUGGCUAUACCUUCUCCGGAUAUAACGUGUCCGAGAAAUCUAACUUCCUUCAACCAAAACUCGCAUUUGCUAAACUUGGCAUAUAAUUGAUAUUCUCUGAGCUUUCCAAGAACCAAACGCAAAUGUUCCUUAUGAUCCUCUUUAUUCUUUGAGUAAACCAGGAUAUCAUCAAUGAACACUACGACAAACUUAUCCAAGAACUCCAUAAACACUUUGUUCAUCAUGUUCAUAAAAUAUGCAGGUGCAUUAGUCAGACCAAAUGACAUAAUGGUAUACUCGUACAGCCCAUACCUGGUGGUAAAAGCCGUCUUGGGUAUAUCCUGUUCCCGAAUCUUCAACUGGUGGUAUCCUGAUCGCAGAUCGAUCUUGGAAAAUACCUUAUCUCCUUGCAAUCGAUCAAACAGAUCAUUGAUCAUCGAUAGUGGGUACUUGUUCUUGAUGGUUACUUCAUUCAAUCCUCGAUAAUCGACAACCAUCCUUAACGAUCCAUCCUUCUUUUCUACUAGAAGUACUGGCGAUCCCCAAGGUGAAGAACUUGGGCGAAUAUAUCCUUUAUCCAGUAACUCCUUAAUUUGCUUCUUAAUUUCCACCAAAUCCUUUGUAGGCAUCCUAUAUGGUCUCUUUGAUAUUGGCCCUGUGCCUGGCAAAAGCUCAAUCAAAAACUCAAUAUCUCUAUCCGGUGGCAUGCCUGGCAACACUUCUGGAAAUACUUCGGGGAAAUCCUUCACUACUGGUACUUCCUCCUGCACAACUCUGGUUAAACAAUUUAUUUGAGUCCUCUUUGGCACAUGUCGGGAUACGUACUUGAUCCUUCUCCCUUCUGGGGUGGUAAGCAAAAUUGACUUACUGGCACAUUCAAUAUUCCCUUCAUACUUUGACAACCAAUCCAUGCCUAAUAUCACAUCCAAUCCUUGGGAUUCCAAUACUAUUAGGUCCAAGGGAAAAACAUAGUUACCAAUCCUUAAUGGUAACCGAUCACACCAUAGACUAGCCAUAUAUUCUGCUCCAGGCGAGGUUACUAACAUGGGUGACCUAAGGGCUUGGGUUGGCAAUUCAUACUUAUCCACAAAUCCCCUUGAUAUGUAUGAAUGCGAUGCACCAGUAUCGAAAAGAACGAGUGCAGUAAAUGACUUAACCAAAAAUUUACCGAUUACUGCAUCCGGCUGCUCUUCAACCUCCUCCACGUUAAUGUGGUUCAGCUGUCCCAUGUUGAAAGGGUUCGUCUUCUUCCCAGAGCUUCCAUUGCCAUUUCCAUUCUGUGAUUCAGGAAAUUCAUUGGCAUAAUGUCCGGUCUUCUGGCACUUAAAGCAAGUAACUUGGCUCAGGUCUUUCUUGGCUAGGGUCGAUGGGUUGGUGCGGUUUUGGCCGUUGCUUCCUCCAUUCCCAUUACCGUUCUUGGGGCCAUUGUGAUUGUGCGAUCUACCCCCUCCAUGGGUAUGCUGAAAAUGUCCUCCCGGCCUAGGGGUAAAUCAUGGCUUCUGCUGAGCUCCUGAAUUGUACUUUCCUUGUGCAUACUUCCUCUUGCGAUUCUCAAUUUGCUGCUGCUUCCCUUCAAUCAUGAGAGCACGAUCUACCAACUCCUGGUAGUUGUUGAAGGUUGCUAUCAUCAACUGCAUGCUCAACUCAUCAUUCAGUCCUUCCAGAAAUUUCUCUUGCUUAGCUGCGUCCGUAGCAACGUCAUCUGGGGCAUAACGUGCUAACUUACUAAAGUCCUCCACAUACUGGCCAACUGUCCGUCCUCCUUGGUGCAAGUUGCGAAACUCUCGCUUCUUCAUGGCCAUAGCUCCUGCUGAAACAUGGGCAGUUCGAAAAGCCUGCUGAAACUGGUCCCAUGUGAUAGUAUCGACAGGGAAAGUAGCUGUGAAGUUCUCCCACCAUGAUGCUGCGGGUCCUUCAAGCUGAUGUGCGGCAAACUUCACCUUCUCCGCAUCCGUGCAUCCUGCUGUGGUCAACUCUCUAGCUGUCUUGCGGAGCCAAUCAUCUGCUACUACCGGCUCGGUGCUACUGGAAAACACUGGCGGAUUCAGCCUAAGAAAACGGGCUAAGUGAUCAACAGGUGGUGGUGGUGGGUUGUUGUUGUUGUUCCCUUGAUUCUGAUUCUGGACUAGCAACUGCAUCAAUGUGUUCUGCUACUGGAUCAACUGGGUGAGCUCCGGUGGAAAGGUAAAUCCGGGGUCACGUCUCGGAGGCAUCUGAGGGUUUAUAAAAGAUGAGAUUUAAGAAUAGAGGGGGUCUAAAGAGAAAACACUACCCAUAUGCACAUGAGGCAAAAGCAAACAAUUCACUUCAUUCAUUCAAUCAAACAAGGGCAUACAAUCGAUCUAACUAUUGCAAAAGUGCUCAGACUAUAACAUUUACAUGGUGGACUACUACUACUAAUGAGGUGGUCUACUAGAAAUAUUCUUCGGUUGCAGACUCCAUGAUAUCUGCUCUAGCUUCAUCAACAUAGUCAUCAUCGCUAUCAUCUGGAUCCGAGUCGGUGUCGUCGAUGAUGAUGUAGUCUUCCGGGCGAAUCUCCUUGGGUUCUUCGUCUUCUUCUACUGGUGUAGGGCCCCCCAUAAAUAUUCCAAUCUUCAUUGUUAGGUCGGCAUUAUUAUCCACUAAUACUUCAAUUUCCUCUUCAUAAUCUUCAUGUGUAGCCUUGCGUUCUUCCUCCAGUUCCUUGGUUCUUGUCUUUGCCUUCUUCAGGUCUAUCAUGUCGGUGCACAUCUGGUUCUCUUGACAUCGAAUGUGCUGGUUUAACUCCUGGAUAAAAGCUACAAUUGAUCUAUCCUUUCUGGUGCUGAUCAUCUCCCAGUGCUCAUCUCGGCGCCCACAAAUCUGGUAGAUAGUAUCCUUGAGAUCAUUUCGGUAGACUAAUCCAAUGCGUCCCAUGGCGAUGUGAGCUGCCAUGCUCUUUCCUAGACUCCAAGUUGGUGCAUCAAAAGAAAACUCCAUGGGCUCAGUGAUUGGCAUGAACGUCGUUCCUGGAACUUGAACUUGAAUCAUCCAGCGCUCUUCUUCAGGUAAAGUGGCGUUGUAGGUUCCGGUGAAGCUUGGUACUCCUAUGUUCAGAUAUCUAGUGACUUCCUUCAAGUGACGUCCAAAGGGUGUAUCUUCAUCCGGUUGCGUGAACUUGUUCCUUGCAUCUACCAUCCUAAAAGAGUAGAAAAGAUGAGGAGUCAGAAAGAGAAGAGAUUGAGUAGUGAUCUAGGUCUUUAGAUUACUGGUCAUGUCCUACAGUCAGCGUGUGCUCUGAUACCAUCUUGUAGUGACCAGACCUUAAACGGUCCAAUCUCUGUGCUCCGGUGUCAUCCCUGGAUCAGUAAUGCUGACACCACACAAUACUUGAAGGAUUUAUAACAGAGUAGCAAUCACAUACUUAUUACAUCGAGUGUCUCAAUAGAGAACUUAUUACAAUAAAUAUGGCUUAAGGCCAUCUAAUAACGAUAAUAGCAGAAGGCUUGGAAGAUAAGUGAGUCCAUCAACUCCAACGGCAUCACUGAGUAUAGAACCACGACCUAAAACUCCUUAAUCAUCGUUUGAAAAGUCUGCAACAUUAAUAUUGCAACCCGAAACGGGUCAACACAUGGAAUAUACUGGCAAUGUAACACAUAGAGAGUAAUGGAGAGAAACAGUUAUUCUACAUGCAUAUUUGGCUGGUGGAAAGCUCUAUGCUUACAGUUUUGCGAAAAGCUAAAUUUUCCCUACCGCAAAGGAAUAAAUUUGUUUAACUAUCAUGGUAGUUGUUAAACAUUGAGAAUGGUUGACAGCAUCCUCAAUCCCAAUUAAACAUCAUCAUUAAACAAACCCAUCAAUAUUAAAUUUUAUAGUAACAUGUUGAGAUUCACAUGAUAAUCCAGGUACUAGAUACUCAAGAUGUCCAUAACCGGGGACACGGCUAACCAUGAUUAGUUUAUACACUCUACAGAGGUUUGCGCACUUUUCCCCACAAGACUCGAUCUUCUCCGUUGGAUUUCUCGCACUACAUGGUGUUUGAGAAACGGAUGACCGAGACAUAGUCUUUCAGAAGCGCUAGCACCUUACGAUGGGUAGACCGUACCACCUACAUCCCCUACAUCUGCUAGUCUACCACUGUAAGAGUUCACACGACUUAGUCAACUAUGCUAGAGCCCAUAAUAGCUUGUGGCUGCACACGGAAGUUUCUAGCAUGAAUAAUCUCAUGAUCCCUUUGAACCUGGGUGGCGGUCCAAAAGAAAACAGGCAAUCCUGGAAUACCCAGGUACCUCAAUCCACCCAGAUGUGUGCUUAAGUUGCCACCUUAAAUAAACCAUUAAUUAACCAACUCACAUAUGUCAUGGAUACACUCACCCAAUCCACGUCUACUAGCAUAGCAUGGCAUAAUAAGCAACGUAGAAGUAACUCCCAAAGGUUUGAUAAUAAACAGGUAAUAGGUACUACCUCAACUACUUCCCAAACCCACAAUUUAGUUAGAUCCUAAUCAUGCAAUGUGUAAGGAUUGACCUAAUGCAAUAAAACUAGGUAGUAGGAGGUAUGAUCAAAGUGUUACUUGCCUUGCUGAUGAUCCGGGAAACCUAGCGAUUCGAAGUAACAAGCGGCGCACUCCGGGUACUCUAUCGCAAAUAAACAAGCACACAAUAAGUACUCAUCUAAUGCACAGGUAAAACUCAAAUAAGAGAUCUAACCAGAAGGUUCAACUUAAGAACUCCGGUUGGCAAAAAGAAUCCAAUCGAACGAAGCAACGAAAGACAAACAGCAAAAGAAACAGGCUUCAUUUACUAUUCUGGAUCUAAGGCAAUUUUAUAGAAGCAAAAACUUGUUUAAGUUGGUUAAACGGAAAUAGGGUUUCGAGACGAAACUCCAGGCGCUUGAAUCGCCUGAUUCCGAUAAACGAGCGAAAAGUUAUACUAAAACAAAAAUCGGACCAGAAAUCGCGAUCAGAAAUAAUCGUGGAAAAUCCGAGAAAAAGAAAAACGACGAACAGAUUAACGAACGAACGUUCUUUAUAUGGAUCUAGACGACGAACACAUUCGUUAAAACGAACGAACGAGCGAACGCUCGCUAAAUAAACUAAACCGUAAAAAAACAGUUGUAAUAAAAAAACGGAUCUUAAAAAAAACCACAGUUUUUAAAAAAACCGGGCGGUUUUCCGAGGAAAACCGCCGGUGACGGCGGCUACCUUGGGCGGCGGGGCGGCGGGGUCGGCGGCGAGGCAGCGGCGACGCGGGCGGCGGGGUCAGCGGCGCUAGGGUUUGGGGCGCGCGGGCGGGCUGCGGGGCUGAGGCGCUGGUGGGCUUCGGCGGCUCGGGCGAGCGGCUUAUAAAGGCCCCCCCCCCCGGGCGGAGUCCCGCUCGGGUACGGCCCGGAGUCGGUUCGGAAUUUUUUUUAAAUUAAUUCCGGGCAGAAAAACUAACGAAAGAAAUACUAAACUGACUCCAAAAAUCCCGAAAUAAAUUUUACCCGAGUUCUAAAAUCAAGCCGGACGAAGUGAACAUUUAUUUGGGGCCUAAAUGCAAGUUUGAAAAACGCACAUUUUUUUUCCUAAAUUCAAAUGAAAUAGCAAAUAAAACCAAAUAAAUCUUAUUUGAUUUUUUUAUUAAAUCCUCAAUAUUUCUUUAUUUUGGGAAAGUCAUUUUAUUCCCUCUCUCAUAUUUUUGUAGCAGAAAUAAUUGAAGAUAAAAUAAAUAAAAUCAAAGAUCCUAUUUUCUAAAUUUGAGACAACUCAAAUAUGAAAAUAAUGAAAUCCCCAACUCUCUCCGAGGGUCCUUGAGUUGCGAAAAAUUUCUAGGAUCGGCCAAAAUGCAAUAAAUAUGAUAUGCAAUGAUGAUCUAGUGUAUAACAUUCAAAAUUGAAAAUUUGGGAUGUUACAAUGCACGUGUGGAAUGAUAAACGGUAAAGAAUAGGUUCCUAGUCUUGUCUCUAAGACUGUCUCAAGUGUUGCUCGUGAUCAUGUUUUCCGGAUCUUAGGAUAUCUUUAAGUGUAACGAUAGUUCUAAAACAACAUUGAGAGUAUGAUGUUAGAAGAACGAUCAUAUUGAAUCGACCCAAACUUGUUUUUUAUACUUUGAGAUAAUAUCGUCUGAAAUCAAUUGUUAUAACACAAAGUAUUAGUAUGUGUUUUUAGUUCCUCGGACCAUGAGAGUAUCCUAGUCACUUUCUAUUGUACGCUGGACUUUGGGGUCGCUCAAACGUCAUUAGUAACACGGUGAUCAUAACGAUAACUUAUGGGUUCAUCGGAAAGUUUGACGAGCGACUAGAUAGCUCGAGAGUGGAAUUUGCUCCUCCGACGAUGGAGAGAUAUUCUUAAGGCCCUCUUAGUGUGAAGGUAUCCAUCAUCGCUUGGCCAGGCAUAGGUAACUAUGUCACGGGGAUGCCGUAACAUUUCAACGAGAAAGAAGAAGAAAACAGGCAACGAGAUCAGUGGUAUGGUGAGCAUGUGCAUGACUUAGGAGGAUAUUGAUGCAUACCGGGUGUUUUAAAGUAUCAUGAAGCAAAGGGAACAUCACAUGAUAACCAUAGGUUCACUUGAAUGUCAUUCGUGUACUCAUAGGGAUCGAUAUGGACGUCCACGGUUCUGCUGUUGGUCAUUGAACGAAGGACUUCCAUUCAUGUUUAUGAUUUAUCGAACCUACUGGGUCAUAAGCUUAAGGUAAUCACGAUCUGCUGAGUUUUAGUAGGACGAGAGUAUGGAGGAUUUAUUUCUGAAAUUGUUUCAUUAAUAUUUAGAAUAGUUACGAGAAGAACCAAAAGCGUUUCGGGGUCACCAGAAGGGUUUCAGAGUUUAUCGGGCAAUACCGUGUAUUACUAAUAAAUAAUAUAUAGGUGGAAAAUGUUUCUGAAGAUGUUAAAUUAUAUACAAAAUGCUCUAGUAAUUAUUAGAGGGCUUUUAUAUUUAAUUUAAUAUCAACGGGCCUUAAAAGGCCAAACUGUGGAGAGAGAAUUGGGCUAUAAGGGCCCAUGUAGGGGAGGCGCCCCUUUCCCCCUUGAGGGAGGCCGAAUUGGGGUGGAGGAAGGGCUCCUCCUUCCCCCUUUUGGCUGGCGCAAGGAGGGGAGUACCGCCCCUCCUUGUGGCGCCCCUCCCUCUCCCCUCAACCUAUAUAUACUAGAGGUCCAAGACACUUUGAAGGCACAAGUUUUGGAGCCUCCUCUAGUUCCUCUAGUUCUAGUUCUAGCUGAUCCUAGUUGUUCAAUUAGAGCUUGACCUAGAUCCUAUGAUCCUCAUAAUUAGAAGUCUAGUGUGGUUCUAACAUCCUCCCUCUAAUUCUCCGGAAAUGAUUAGCUCUGGACGGCGAAGCGCUGUUGGACCGUGAAGACCGUACGCUUGCAACCAAGUAGAGAGGCCGUGCUUUUGGUCGUCCGUUCAAGGGAUCGUUCGAGGGUGGUUCACGAGAUCAUCAGUAACGGUUCGAGGGACUCCAAGUACUAUCUACACCGACUUGUAUUCUUCCGCUGCAACUCCGGAGUUGGUAACCAUCGUCGAUCCAAACCUAUAUGCAUCUUCAUAUUGUUCCUAGGUGGUCGUAGGGACAAUUUUUUGUUUUCUACUACGUUUCCCAAUAGGGAGCCCCUCCUCCAAGCCAGGGUGUAUUUCCCCGUUGAGGUUGGGGCUCACCUCUCUCUCUCUCUCUCUCUCUCUAGUUCUCCACUACUGUCCUCCCUGAAGGGAUGCUCCACCCUCUAGUUCUUCUCCGACAUUGCAUAGCUCUGGACGGUGAAGCCAUGCUGGAUCAAAGGAUUUGUACAUGUGCAUUCUGAUAGAAUUACCGUACGUUCAGUUCUAGUUCGAGGGGUUGGUACGAGGGAUGCCGAGAAUGCGAUCUUCACCAAAUCUUCUUCCGCUACAAUUCAUUUGGUUGUGAGAUCAGAUCUAACCUUGUAUGUACAUCUUCACAGUGAUCAUGGGAACUAGAUUCAUAGGCUGAUUUUGUUGUUGUUUUCUACUAUGUUUCCCAACAAAAGUUGCACGCAUGGAGUUAUUAAGGCCUAAACACAUUACAAGUUUCUAAAUCUUCACGCAAUCAUGCAACCUUGAAUCUGCAUUCUCCUUCCCUGUGUGUGCUAUAAAUCCUCUCUCCCUUGGCCCCCAUGUUGUUCGUUCUUGUCAUGGAACCGCUGGACGCGCUAUUCCGCUCAGCGCAACUGAUAUGUCCAUAGUAUGUUGCAACAACUUCCUUGUCGGAGGAUUGAGCGCCAUUUUCCUGUCACCCAUGGUGUGCGACAUGUCUAUGUGGUGUUCGACUACUUUGGUGGUCCUAAUGGGCACAUUACCAAUGUGAGAAGUGCUAUGACGCCCCAAUGUAGUGCAUGCCUCCACACCUGCCAACUAUUGCCUCAUAAUUUCCAUGCAGUGUUAUCAAUUUUCCCUGCAGAGACCUUGGGAUCUAUUGUCCUACAAGAGGGUUUCCAAGGCUACACUGCAAUUUAGCAUCGAAAUGAUUUAUUUUGGCAAAUGGCAUCGUGGAAAGCCAACCUUCUUACCCUGGAAGGACGCUUGGUGCUCAUCAAGCCUAUAUUGUAUUCUACUUUGGUUUAGCAUUCCAUUGACAUGGAUCUCCUAUAGUGAUUGAUAACCGAGAUGGAUAAGCAUACCAGGGUUGUUUGUGGAAAGGCAUUGAGUCAGUUCAUAGAGGUAAUUGUCCCGUUGGUUGUGGCCGUGUGCGUGCUAGUUGAAUACCACAAUCUUAGACCUCUUGCAAUUGUAGUAUCAGAACUUGUAUCACUAAUCUAUGACACUACAUGUGACACCCUCAAUUCAAUCGUACACUAAUCAUACACGUAAACGUGUAUGAUCAAGAUCAGAGACUCACGGGAAGAUAUCACAACACAACUCUACAAAUAAAAUAAGUCAUACAAGCAUCAUAUUACAAGCCAGGGGCCUCGAGGGCUCGAAUACAAGAGCUCGAUCAUAGACGAGUCAGCGGAAGCAACAAUAUCUGAGUACAGACAUAAGUUAAACAAGUUUGCCUUAAGAAGGCUAGCACAAACUGGGACACAAAUCGAAAGAGGCGUAGGCCUCCUGCCUGGGAUCCCCCUAAACUACUCCUGGUCGUCGUUAGCGGCCUGCACGUAGUAGUAGUCACCUCCAGUGUAGUAGGAGUCAUCGUCAAUGGUGGCGUCUUGCUCCCGGACUCCAACGUCUGGUCGCAGCAAUCGGGUAUAGAAAGAGGGAAAGGGGGGAGGAAAGCAACCGUGAGUACUCAUCCAAAGUACUCACAAGCAAGGAGCUACACUACAUAUGUAUGCAUUGGUAUCAAAUGGAAAAGGUGGUAACAUAUGUGGACUGAACUGCAGAAUGCCAGAAUAAGAGGGGGAUAGCUAGUCCUAUCGAAGACUACGCUUUUGGCAACCUCCAUCUUGUAGCAUGUAGAGGAGAGUAGAUGGUAAGUUCACCAAGUAGCAUCGCAUAGCAUAAUCCUAACCGAUGAUCCUCCCCUCGUCGCCCUGUGAGAGAGCGAUCACCGGUUGUAUCUGGCACUUGGAAGGGUGUGUUUUAUUAAGUAUCAGGUUCUAGUUAUCAUAAGGUCAAGGUACAACUCCAAGUCGUCUUGUUACCGAAGAUCACGACUAUUCGAAUAGAUUAACUUCCCUGUAGGGGUGCACCACAUUUCCCAACACGCUCGAUCCCCUUUGUCCGGACACACUUGUCUGGGUCAUGCCCGGCCUCGAAAGAUCAACAUGUCGCAGCCUGAUACGUCUCCAACGUAUCUAUAAUUUUUGAUUGCUCCAUGCUAUAUUAUCUACUGUUUUGGGUAAUAUUGGGCUUUAUUAUCCACUUUUAUAUUACUUUCGGGACUAACCUAUUAACCGGAGGCCCAGCCCAGAUUUGCUGUUUUAUGCCUAUUUCAGUGUUUUGAAGAAAAGGAAUAUCAAACGGAGUCAAAACGGAAUGAAAUCAACUCGAGAAGUUAUUUUUGGAACAAAAGCCACCAGAUAGACUUGGACUCCACGUCAAGAGAUAUGGGAGGUGCUCACGAGGGUGGGGGGCGCCCCCCUAGGGCGCGCCCUACCUCGUGGGGCCCUCGUGGCUCCUCCGACGUACUUCCUGCACCCAUAUAUAUCAUCGUACCCUAAAACUUCCAGAACGCAACAUAGAUCAGGAGUUCCGCUGCCAGAAGCCUCCGUAGCCACCAAAAACCAAUCUAGACCCGUUCCGGCACCCUGCCGGAGGGGGCAAUCCUUCUCCGGUGGCCAACUUCAUCAUCCCGGUGCUCUCCAUGACGAGGAGGGAGUAGUUCUCCCUCGGGGCUGAGGGUAUGUACCAGUAGCUAUGUGUUUGAUCUCUCUCUCUCUCUCGUGUUCUUGAGAUGAUACGAUCUUGAUGUAUCGCGAGCUUUGCUAUUAUAGUUGGAUCCUAUGUUUCUCCUCCCCCUCUUCUCUCUUGUAAUGAAUUGAGUUUCCCCUUUGAAGUAAUCUUAUCAGAUUGAGUCUUUAAAGAUUUGAGAACACUUGAUGUAUGUCUUGCCGUGGAUAUCUGUGGUGACAAUGGGAUACCACGUGCCACCUGAUGUAUGUCUUGGUGAUCAACUUGCGGGUUUCGUGACAUUGGGAACCUAUGCAUAGGGGUUGGCACACGUUUUCGUCGUGAUUCUCCGGUAGAACUUUGGGGCACUCUUUGAGGUCCUUUGUGUUGGUUGAAUAGAUGAAUCUGAGAUUGUGUGAUGCAUAUCGUAUAAUCAUACCCACAGAUACUUGAGGUGACAUUGGAGUAUCUAGGUGACAUUAGGGUUUUGGUUGAUUUGUGUCUUAAGGUGUUAUUCUAGUACGAACUCUAGGGCUGUUUGUGACACUUAUAGGAAUAGCCCAACGGAUUGAUUGGAAAGAAUAACUUUGAGUGGUUUCAUACCCUACCAUAAUCUCUUCGUUCAUUCUCCGCUAUUAGUGACUUUGGAGUGACUCUUUGUUGCAUGUUGAGGGAUAGUUAUGUGAUCCAAUUAUGUUAGUAUUGUUGAGGGAACUUACACUAGCGAAAGUAUGAACCCUAGGCCUUAUUUCCUAUCAUUGCAAUACCGUUUACGCUCACUUUUAUUAUUAGUUACCUUGCUGUUUUUAUAUUUUCAGAUUACAAAAACUAUUAUCUACUAUCCAUAUACCACCUGUAUCACCAUCUCUUCGCCGAACUAGUGCACCUAUACAAUUUACCAUUGUAUUGGGUGUGUUGGGAACACAAGAGACUCUUUGUUAUUUGGUUGCAGGGUUGCUUGAGAGAGACCAUCUUCAUCCUACGCCUCCUACGGAUUGAUAAACCUUAGGACAUCCACUUGAGGGAAAUUUGCUACUGUCCUACAAACCUCUGCACUUGGAGGCCCAACAAUGUCUACAAGAAGAAGGUUGUGUAGUAGACAUCAAGCUCUUUUCUGGCGCCGUUGCCGGGGAGGUGAGUGCUUGAAGGUAUAUCUUUAGAUCUUGCAAUCGAGUCUUUUAGUUUCUUGUUUUAUCACUACUUUAGUUUAUAAAAGAAAAUUACAAAAAAAAUGGAAUUGAGUUUGUCUCAUACGCUUCACCUUUUUAAUAUCUUUCGUAAGUACGGUGGAAAGGAAAAUCGUGCUCAAGUGCUAGAAGAAGAAAUCUAUAAAAUGUUUGGCACUAAAUAUUUGAAUGAUGAGCAUGAUUGCAAUGUUGUUAGUACGAAUUCUUUGAAUAUCCAUGAUGCUAAUGAUGAUUGCACUAGUUAUGAUGAAAAUGCCUCCUAUAAAUAUGCCAAUUUUUGUGGAGUAGAUUGGGUUUGCAAGUACACACCAAGUAGGGAAGAUAGAUAUUGCAAGAGGCAUAAGUACUUAGAAACUAAAUUGUUGCAAGAAGAGCUAGAUGAAUGUGCUGAAAGAUUCAAUAUUUUUCGUGCUCCUUGUGAACUUUGCAAUGAACAUGGUCAUUUAAAUCUCCAAUGCUAUUUGUUUCAUGAUCAAGUCGUGUUCAAAUAUUGUGAUAAUUUGAUUAACCUUGAGCAUCAUAAAGAGUUUAGCCUUCUUUUGGGUUAUGAAGAAAUGAAACGUAUAACUGAGGAUAUUCCAAAAUUUGCCCUUGAUAAAGUUCUUCGUUUUGAUCUAGAGAAUAUUUAUAUGUAUUGUGCGGUGAAUUGCAUUGAAAGUCCUUAUAUUGCCAAUUACAUAAAGAAAAGAAAACAAAUAGAAUAUGAAGAGAAUACUAACGGAAGGGAAAAGACUUCCCAAUAUCCUCCUAUUAUUCCUUAUGAUGAAUCAGGUAACGAGGAGGAGCCUCCUACUCAACCAAUCUCAUUAAUAAGGAGCUCCAAAAAGAGAAUUGAACCCACGCAUGAUGUGGUGAAGAAGAAGAAAAGAAAAAGGAAGAGAGGUAAAAAGAUAUCCCUCCCAAAUAAUGCUGCUCCUAUUACUAUUAUGCCUCAUGAAAAUAUAAUUGUGGAAGAUAAUGAUACUUCUUAUGAUCUUGAAAAUCUUUUUGGCACUUGCUUGGAAGAAUAUAAUAAUUGCUAUACUAUUGGUGCUAUCCAUGCUAUUAAUGAUGAGAGUGAUUAUGCUUAUGAUACGAAAAGGCCCAAGCUUGGGGAAGCUAUGUUUGAUGAGGAUGACAUAUUUGAGAAUAUAUUUGCUGCAAUUAAUGUUUGUCCCAAGCUUGGGGAUGCUACGCUUAAUGAAGAUUAUAUUUUUAGUCUCCCAAGUUUUGAUAUGCAAAUUCGUAAUGAUAAUAACAUGCCUCCUACUUAUGAUAAUUAUUGUGAUGAUACAUAUGCUAUAAAAAGUAGUGAGGAUUAUAUUUAUAAAACUUGUCAUGAUUAUGGUUACCCCUUUUCUGAACAUUACUCUUUUAAUGUGGAAACAAUUUAUAAUAUUCAAGUCUCUUAUUAUACUCCCACUAUCCCGAAUGAGAACAAUUUUGCUUAUGUGGAGAGUAGUAAAUUUUGCAUGCUUGGAGAUCAUGAAAAGAAUGCUUUAGGUGCUGGUUAUAUUGUUGAAUUCAUUCAUGAUGCUACUGAAAAUUAUUAUGAGGGAGGAACAUAUGCUUGUAGGAAUUGCAAUAAUAUCAAGUUUCCUCUCUAUGUGCUUAAAGUUUUGAAGUUAUGCUUGUUUUAUCUUCCUAUGCAAGUUGAUUCUUGUUCCGACAAGUUAUUUGAUCACAAAAUCCCUAUGCAUAGGAAGUAUGUUAGACUUAAAUGUGCUAGUCAUAUUCUUCAUGAUGCUCUCUUUAUGUUUCAAUUCUUAUCUUUUAUGUGAGCAUCAUUGAAAUCAUCAUGCCUAGCUAGGGGCGUUAAACGAUUGCGCUUGUUGGGAGGCAACCCAAUUUUAUUUUUGUUCCUUGCUUUUUGUUCCUGUUUAGUAAUAAAUAAUUCGUCUAUCCACUGUUUAGAUGUGGUUUUAUGUGUUUAAUUAGUGUUUGCGCCAAGUAGAACCUUUGGGAAGACUUUGGGAAAGUCUUGUUGAUCAUGCUGUAACAAACAGAAACUUUAGCGCUCACAAGAACUGCUGCCAUUUUUAUUUGGAGAGUGAUAUUUAGUUAAUUAUUUUUUCAUAUGAUUAAUAGAUAAAUUCCUCAGGUCCAGCAAUUUAUUUGAGAAUUUUAUGAGUUCCAGAAGUAUACGUUUGAUCCAGAUUACUACAGACUAUUCUGUUUUUGACAGAUUCUGUUUUUCAUGUGUUGUUUACUUAUUUUGAUGAAUCUAUGAGUAGUAUCCGAGGGUAUGAACCAUAGAGAAGUUAUAAUGCAGUAGGUUUAACCAUUGUUGAGGAAAUCGUUAACUGGUAGCUGCUCGGUUGGCUGACGAGUAGGGGAUUAAUAGGCUAAUCGGCAAGUUAAUCGGCCAUUUAAUCAAUUACUCGGGUGAUUAAUCAGUUAAUCGGUUACUCGGUGACCCUACGAGUAGGGAUUAAUCAGCAAGUUAACUGGUUAAUCGGAUGAAUUCUUGAACAGGGGGUUUAACACCAAUAUAAAUAAAGAAUGAGUUCAUUACAGUAACUUGAAGUGGUGAUUUAUUUUCUUAUACUAACGGAGCUUACGAGUUUUCUGUUAAGUUUUGUGUUGUGAAGUUUUCAAGUUUUGGGUAAGGAUUCGAUGGACUAUGGAAUAAGGAGUGGCAAGAGCCUAAGCUUGGGGAUGCCCAAGGCACCCCAAGGUAAUAUUCAAGGACAACCAAGAGCCUAAGCUUCGGGAUGCCCCGGAAGGCAUCCCCUCUUUCGUCUUCGUUCAUCGGUAACUUUACUUGGAGCUAUAUUUUUAUUCGCCACAUGAUAUGUGUUUUCCUUGGAGCGUCAUGUCAUUUUCUUUUGCUUUGCUUGCUGUUUGAAUAAAGUACCAAGAUCUGAAAUUAUUAAAUGUUAGAGAGUCUUUAUAUAGUUGCAUAAUUAUUCGACUACUCAUUGAUCUUCACUUAUAUCUUUCGGAGUAGUUUGUUGUUGGUCUAGUGCUUCACUUAUAUUCUUUUAGAGCAUGGUGGUAGUUUUAUUUUGAAGAAAUAGAUGAACUCUCAUGCUUCACUUAUAUUAUUUUGAGAGUUUUAAAUAACAUGGUAAUUUGCUUAAAAUCCUAAUAUGCUAGGUAUUCAAGAAUAAUAAAAUUCUCUUAUGAGUGUGUUGAAUACUAUGAGAAGUUUGAUACUUGAUGAUUGUUUUGAGAUAUGAGGAUGGUAAUAUUAGAGUCAUGCUAGUUGAGUAGUUGUGAAUUUGAGAAAUACUUGUGUUGAAGUUUGUGAUUCCCGUAGCAUGCACGUAUGGUGAACCGUUAUGUAACGAAGUUGGAGCAUGAUUUAUUUAUCGAUUGUCUUCCUUAUGAGUGGCGGUCGGGGACGAGCGAUGGUCUUUUCCUACCAAUAUAUCCCCCUAGGAGCAUGUGCGUAGUACUUUGUUUCGAUAACUAAUAGAUUUUUGCAAUAAGUAUGUGAGUUCUUUAUGACUAAUGUUGAGUCCAUGGAUUAUACGCACUCUCACCCUUCCACCAUUGCUAGCCUCUCUAGUACCGCACAACUUUCGCCAGUACCAUAAACCCACCAUAUACCUUCCUCAAAACAGCCACCAUACCUACCUAUCAUGGCAUUUCCAUAGCCAUUCCGAGAUAUAUUGCCAUGCAACUUUCCACCGUUCCGUUUAUUAUGGCGCGCUCCAUCAUUGUCAUAUUGCUUUGCAUGGUCAUGUAGUUGACAUCGUAUUUGUGGCGAAGCCACCAUUCAUAAUUUUCCAUACAUGUCACUCUUGAUUCAUCGCAAUCCCGGUACACCGCCGGAGGCAUUCAUAUAGAGUCAUACUUUGUUCUAGUAUCGAGUUGUAAUCAUUGAGUUGUAAAUAAAUAGAAGUGUGAUGAUCAUCAUUCAAUAGAGCAUUGUCCCAAUAAAAAAGAAGAGAAAGGCCAAAGAAAAAAAAGGCCCCCCCCCCCAAAAAAAGAAAAUAAAUAAAAAGGGGCAAUGCUACUAUCCUUUUUCCACACUUGUGCUUCAAAGUAGCACCAUGAUAUAGCGAGUCUCAUAUAUUGUGCUUCAAAGUAGCACCAUGUUCUUCAUAUAGAGAGUCUCAUAUGUUGUCACUUUCAUAUACCAGUGGGAAUUUUACGUUAUAGAACUUGGCUUGUAUAUUCCAAUGAUGGGCUUCCUAAAAAAUUGCCCUAGGUCUUCAUGAGCAAGCAAGUUGGAUGCACACCCACUAGUUUCUUUUGUUGAGCUUUCAUACAUUUAUAGCUCUAGUGCAUCCGUUGCAUGGCAAUCCCUACUCACUCACAUUGAUAUCUAUUGAUGGGCAUCUCCAUAGCCCAUUGAUACGCCUAGUUGAUGUGAGACUAUCUUCUCCUUUUUGUUUUCUCCACAACCACCAUUCUAUUCCACCUAUAGUGCUAUGUCCAUGGCUCACGCUCAUGUAUUGCGUGAAGAUUGAAAAAGUUUGAGAACAUCAAAAGUAUGAAACAAUUGCUUGGCUUGUCAUCGGGGUUGUGCAUGAUUUAAAUAUUUUGUGUGGUGAAGAUGGAGCAUAGCCAGACUAUAUGAUUUUGUAGGGAUAACUUUCUUUGGCCAUGUUAUUUUGAGAAGACAUAAUUGCUAUAUUAUCUACUGUUUUGGGCAAUAUUGGGCUUUAUUAUCCACUUUUAUAUUAUUUUCGGGACUAACCUAUUAACCGGAGGCCCAACCCAGAUUUGCUGUUUUAUGCCUAUUUCAGUGUUUUGAAGAAAAGGAAUAUAAACGGAGUCAAAACGGAACGAAAUCAACUGGAGAAGUUAUUUUUGGAACAAAAACCACCAGAUAGACUUGGACUCCAUGUCAGGAGAUACGGGAGGUGCUCGCGAGGGUGGGGGGCACCCCCCUAGGGCGCGCCCCCUGCCUCGUGGGGCCCCCAUGGCUCCUCCGACGUACUUCUUGCACCCAUAUAUAUCGUCGUACCCUAAAACUUCCAGAACGCAACAUAGAUUGGCAGUUCCGCCGCCAGAAGCCUCCGUAGCCACCAAAAACCAAUCUAGACCCGUUCCGGCACCCUGCCGGAGGGGGCAAUCCUUCUCCGGUGGCCAUCUUCAUCAUCCUGGUGCUCUCCAUGAGGAGGGAGUAGUUCUCCCUCAGGGCUGAGGGUAUGUACCAGUAGCUAUGUGUUUGAUCUCUCUCUCUCUCGUGUUCUUGAGAUGAUACGAUCUUGAUGUAUCGCGAGCUUUACUAUUAUAGUUGGAUCCUAUGUUUCUCCUCCCCCUCUUCUCUCUUGUAAUGAAUUGAGUUUCCCCUUUGAAGUAAUCUUAUCGGAUCGAGUCUUUAAAGAUUUGAGAACACUUGAUGUAUGUCUUGCCGUGGAUAUCCGUGGUGACAAUGGGAUACCAUGUGCCACUUGAUGUAUGUCUUGGUGAUCAACUUGCGGGUUUUGUGACAUUGGGAACCUAUGCAUAGGGGUUGGCACACGUUUUCGUCGUGAUUCUACGGUACAACUUUGGGGCACUCUUUGAGGUCCUUUGUGUUGGUUGAAUAGAUGAAUCUGAGAUUGUGUGAUGCAUAUCGUAUAAUCAUACCCACGGAUACUUGAGGUGACAUUGGAGUAUUGUAGCGACCAGACCUCAAACAUUCUGAUCUCUGUGCUCCGGUGUCAUCCCUGGAUCAGUAAUGCUGACACCAUACAUUACUCAGAGGAUUUAUAACAGAGUAGCAAACACACACUUAUUACAUCGAGCGUCUCAAAAGAGAACUUAUUACAAUAAAUAUGGCUUAAGGUCAUCUAAUAAUGAUAACAGCGGAAGGCUUGGAAGAUAAGUGAGUCCAUCAACUCCAACGGCAUCACUGAGUAUAGAACCACGACCUAAAAACUCCUUAAUCAUCGUCUGAAAAGUCUCAACAUUAAUGUUGCAGCCCGAAACGGGUCAGCACAUGGAAUAUGCUGGCAAGGUAACACAUAGAGAAUAAUGGAAUGAAACAGCUAUACUAUAUGCAUAUUUGGCUGUUGGAAAGCUCUAUGGUUACAGUUUUGCAUAAAGCCAAUUUUUCCCUACUUCAAAGGAAUAAAUUUAAUUACUAUCAUGGUGGUUGUUAAACAUUGAGAAUGGUUGACAGCAUCCUCAAUCCCAAUUAAGCAUCAUCAUUAAACAAAACCUAACAAAAUUAAUUUAGAGUAACAUGUUGAGAUUCACAUGAAAAUCCAGGUACUAGAUACUCAAGAUGUCCAUAACCGGGGACACGGCUAACCAUGAUUAGUCUAUUACACUCUGCAGAGGUUUGCGCACUUUUCCCCACAAGACUCGAUCGCCUCCGUUUGGUUUCUCGCACUACAUGGUGUUUGAGAAGACGGAUGACCGAGACAUAGUCUUUCAGAAGCGCUAGCACCUUACGAUCGGGUAGACCGUACCACCUACAUCCCCUACAUCUGCUAGUCUACCACUGUAAGAGUUCGCACGACUUAGUCAACUAUGCUAGAGCCCAUAAUAGCUUGUGGCUGCACACGGAAGUUUCUAGUAUGAAUAGUCUAAUGAUCCCUUUGAGCCUGGGUGGCGGUCCAAAAGAAAACAGGCAAGUCCUGGAAUACCCAGGUGCCUCAAUCCACCCAGAUGUGUGUUUAAGUUGCCACCUUAGAUAAACCAUUAAUUAACAAACUCACAUCUGUCAUGGAUAUCACUCACCCAAUCCACGUCUACAAGCAUAGCAUGACAGAAUAAGCAAACAUAGAAGUAACUCCCAAAGGUUUGAUAAUAAACAGGUAAUAGGUACUACCUCAACUACUUCCAAUCCCACAAUUUAAUUAGAUCCUAAUCAUGCAAUGUUUGAGGAUUGAUAUAAUGCAAUAAAACUGGGUAGUAGGAGGUAUGAUCAAAGUGUUACUUGCCUUGCUGAUGAUCCGGUAAACCUAGCGAUUCGAAGUAACAAGCGGCGCACUCCAGGUACUCUAUCGCAAACAAACAAACAAGCAUACAAUAAGUACUCAUCUAAUGCACAGGUAAAACUCAAAUAAGAGAUCUAACCAGAAGGUUCACUUUAAGAACUCCGGUUUGCAAAAAGAAUCAAAUCAAAUGAGGCAACGAAAGUCAAACGGUGAAAGAAAACAACUUCGUUCUACUAAUCUAGAUCUAAGGCAAAUUUUACAGUAGAAAAAACUUGUUUAAGUUGGUUAAACGGUUAGAGGGUUUCGAAACGAAUCUCCAGGCGCUUGAAUCACCUGAUUCCGAUAAACGAGCGAAAAGUUAUACUAAAACGAAAAUCGGAUCAGGAAUCGCAAUCCGAAAAAUCGCGUAUUAAAUCCGAGAAAAAGAAAAACGAUGAACGUUCGCUAGAACGAACAAACGCUCGCUAUUUAAAUAAAUCGGAAAAAACCGAUCUAUUAAAAAAACAAAUCUAAAAAAACCAACGGAAAAACCGAACGGUUUUUCGAAAAAAAACGGGUGCGGAAAUCGAGGCGGCGGCGGCGUCCGACGGCGGCGGCGGGGCGGCGGGUGGCGGCGGUCUAGGGUUUGGGGCACGUCGGGUGGGCUGUGGGGGUCGGGUCCCCCGGCUUAUAAAGCCUUCCCGGGCCGGUGUCCAGGUCGGACACGGCUCGUAGGUCGGUGCGAUUUUUUUUAAAUAAUUACGCAUGGAAGAAAAAUAAAAAGAAAUACUAAACGGACUCCAAAAAUCCCGAGAUAAAUUUUCCCGGGCUUCUAAAAUCAAGACGCACAAGGUGAACAUUUAUUUGGGGCCUAAAUGCAAUUUUGAAAAACGCACAUUUUUCCUAAAUUCAAAUAAAAUAACGAAAAACUCCGAAAUAAAAUCUUAUUUGAUUUUUUAUUAAAUUCUCAAUAUUUCUUUAUUUUGGGAAGUCAUUUUAUUCCCCCUCUCAUAUUUUUGUAAUAGAAAUAAUUGAUGAUAAAAUAAAUAAAAUCAAAUGAUCCUAUUCUCAAAAUUUGAGAAAAACUCAAAUAUGAAAAUAACGAAAUCCCCAACUCUCUCCGAGGGUCCUUGAGUUGCGUAGAAUUUCUAGGAUCAGCCAGAAAAGCAAUAAAAUAUGAUAUGCAAUGAUGAUCUAAUGUAUAACAUUCCAAAUUGAAAAUUUGGGAUGUUACAAACCUACCCCCUUAAGAUGAAUCUCGCCCUCGAGAUUCGGGUUGGCUUGAAAAUAGGUGAGGGUGGUCCUUGAGAAAAUCUUCCUCUCGUUCCCAGGUGGCUUCAUCCUCUGUGUGGUGGCUCCACUGAACUUUGCAAAACUUGAUAACCUUGCUGCGAGUGACUCAGCUGGCAAACUCGAGAAUCUUAAUUGGUUUCUCCUUGUAGGUCAAAUCGUUAUCCAACUGAAUUGUUUCCAAUGGCACCGUGUCUCUCAAAGGUAUGUCAGCCAUCUCAGCGUGACAUUUCUUCAACUGGGAAACAUGGAACACAUCAUGAACUCCUGACAAUCCUUCGGGCAAUUCCAACUUGUAGGCCACUUCUCCCAUACGCUCCAAAACUCGAUAUGGUCCUACAAAUCGUGGCGCUAAUUUUCCCUUAACUCUAAAACGCUUUGUUCCCUGAAGUGGAGAUACUCGAAGAUAAGCUCUAUCUCCAACUUCGUAAACCGUCUCCUUUCGUUUAGAAUCUGCAUAACUCUUCUGUCUGGACUGGGCUAUCUUGAGCCUGUCGCGAAUCAACUUCACCUUCUGUUCAGACUCUUUAAUCAAGUCAGGUCCAAACAACUGGCGAUCUCCAACUUCGUCCCACGACAAUGGUGUCCUGCACCUCCUUCCAUACAAAGCUUCGAAGGGGGCCAUCUUUAAACUGGUUUGGUAACUGUUGUUGUAAGAGAACUCUGCAUAUGGCAAAUUGUCGUCCCAACUAGAUCCGUAAUCUAGCGCACAAGCUCUCAACAUAUCCUUCAAAAUCCGAUUGACUCUCUCGGUCUGUCCAUCUGCCUGUGGAUGAAAAGCUGUACUGAAUUCUAGCCUGGUAACCAAAGUUUCAUGCAACUGCUUCCAGAACUUUGAGGUAAAUUGGGUUCCUCUAUCCGAUACGAUACUCCUCGGAACUUCAUGCAAACAUACAAUCCUGUUCAUGUAUAUCUUUGCCAACUUAGCACUGGUGUAAGUGGUCUUUACUGGGAUGAAAUGAGCUACCUUCGUCAAUCGAUCGACUACAACCCAAAUCGAGUCAUAGCCUGAACGAGUCCUGGGUAAUCCCGUGAUAAAAUCCAUGCCUAACUUAUCCCACUUCCAUUCGGGUAUCGGCAAUGGUUGUAGCAAUCUUGCUGGCUUAUGAUGCUCUGCUUUUACUCUCUGACAUACAUCACAAACUGCUACGCACUCCGCAAUAUCCUUCUUCAUUCCGGUCCACCAGAAAAUGUCUUUCAAAUCCAAAUACAUCUUGGUAUUUCCUGGGUGAAUCGAAUAUGGUGAAUCGUGUGCCUCUUGCAGAAUCAACUUCCCGAUCUCCGGGUCAUUGGGCACGUAAACACGAUCUUCAAACCAUAGGGUGUCGUGCUCAUCCUCAUGAAAUCCCUUAGCCUUUCCUUUGCUAAGUUUCUCCUUUAUAGAGGCAAUCUCCUUGUCAGUCCUUUGGGCUUCUCUGAUUUUUAUCCAUUAAUGUAGACUGAAUCUCCAAUGCUGCUACAUAGCCUCUCGGAACUAUUUCCAAACAUAGUUCACGAAGAUUUUCUGCUAACUCCCUUGGUAUUCCUCCCGUCAUUAAUGUAUUGACGUGGCUCGUAUGGCUUAAUGCGUUAGCUACUACAUUAGCCUUUCCGGGAUGGUAAUGCAAUCUCAUAUCAUAAUCUUUGAUGAGCUCCAACCAUCUCCUUUGUCUGAGGUUUAACUCCUUCUGCGUGAAAAAUGUACUUCAAACUCUUAUGAUCCAUGUACACCUCACAAUGAUUUUCAAUGAGGAAAUGUCUCCAUGUUUUCAAUGCAUUCACUACGGCUGCUAACUCCAAAUCAUGCGUAGCAUAAUUCAACUCAUGAGGCUUAAGCUGUCGUGAGGCAUACGAAACAACUCUCCCUUCCUGCAUCAGCACUGCUCCAAGUCCUCGACGUGAAGCGUCGCAAUACACCUCAUAAUCCUUGGUCUGAUCUGGUAAAAUCAACACUGGUGAGGUAACCAAACGUUUCUUCAACUCCUGAAAACUAGCCUCACAUUCCUCCAUCCAUAUGAACUUGGUAUCCUUCUUCAACAACUCCGUCAUAGGCUUCGCAAUCUUUGAGAAAUUCUCAAUAAACCUCCGGUAGUAUCCUGCGAGUCCAAGAAAACUACGGAUCUCUCCCACGGUGGUUGGUGCUUCCCACUUGGUUACGAUAUCAACUUUAGUGGGAUCUACUGCUAUACCUUCUCCGGAUAUAACGUGUCCGAGAAAUCCAACUUCCUUCAACCAAAACUCACAUUUGCUAAACUUGGCAUAUAAUUGAUGUUCUCUAAGCUUUCCAAGAGCCAAUCGCAAAUGUUCCUUAUGCUCUUCUUCAUUCUUCGAGUAAACCAGGAUAUCAUCAAUGAACACUAUGAUGAACUUAUCCAAAAAAUCCAUAAACACUUUGUUCAUCAUGUUCAUAAAAUAUGUGGGUGCGUUAGUCAGACCAAAUGACAUAACGGUAUACUCGUACAACCCAUACCUAGUGGUAAAAGCUGUCUUAGGAAUAUCUUGUUCUCUAAUCUUCAACUGGUGGUAUCCUGAUCGCAGAUCGAUCUUGGAAAAUACCUUAGCUCCUUGCAAUCGAUCAAACAGAUCAUUGAUCAUAGGUAGUGAGUACUUGUUCUUGAUUGUUACUUCAUUCAAUCCUCGAUAAUCGACAACCAUCCUUAACGAUCCAUCCUUCUUCUCCAUUAGAAGUACUGGCGAUCCCCAAGGCGAAGAACUUGGGCGAAUAUAUCCUUUAUCCACUAACUCCUUAAUCUGCUUCUUAAUUUCCACCAAAUCCUUUGCUGGCAUCCUAUAUGGUCUCUUUGAUAUUGGUCCUGUGCCUGGCAAUAGCUCAAUCAAAAACUCAAUAUCUCUAUCCGGUGGCAUGUCUGGCAAUUCUUCUGGAAAUACUUCAGGGAAAUCCCUUACCACUGGUACUUCCUCCUGCACAACUCCUGUUAAGAAAUUUACUUGAGUCCUCUUUGGCACAUGUCGGGAUACAUACUUGAUCCUUCUUCCUUCUGGUGUGGUAAGAAAAAUUGACUUACUAGCACAUUCAAUAUUCCCUUCAUACUUUGAUAACCAAUCCAUGCCUAAUAUCACACCCAAUCCUUGGGAUUCCAAUACUAUUAGGUCCGAGGGAAAAACAUAGUUACCAAUCCUUAAUGGUAACCGAUCACACCAUCGACUAGCCAUAUACUCUGCUCCAGGCGAGGUUACUAACAUGGGUGACCUAAGGGCUUGGGUUGAUAGGUUAUACUUAUCCACAAACCCCCUUGAGAUGUAUGAUUGCGAUGUGCCAGUAUCAAAAAGAACGAGUGCAGUAAAUGACUUAACCAAAAACUUACCUAUUACUGCAUCAGGCUGAGCUUCAACCUCCUCCACGCUAACGUGGUUCACCUGCCCCCUGUUGAAAGGGUUCGGCUUCUUCCCAGAGCUUCCAUUCCUAUUUCCAUUUUGUAAUUCAAGACAUUCAUUGGCAUAAUGUCCGGUCUUCGAACACUUAAAGCAAGUGACUUGGCUUAGGUCCUUCUUGGCUGGGGUUGAUGGGUUGGUUCGGUUCUGGCCGUUGCUUCCUCCAUUCCCAUUACCACUUUUGGUGCCAUUGUGAUCGUGCGAGCUACCUCCUCCAUGGGUAUGCUGAAAAUGUCCUCCCGGUCUAGGGGUAAAACGUGGCUUCUGCUGAGCUCCUGAAUUGUACUUCCCUUGUCCAUACUUCCUCUUACGAUUUUCAAUUUGCUGCUGCUUGCCUUCAAUCAUCAGAGCACGAUCUACCAACUCCUGAUAGUUGUUGAAUGUUGCUACUAUCAACUGCAUGCUCAACUCAUCAUUCAGUCCUUCCAGAAACUUCUCCUGCUUUGCUGCAUCCGUAGCAAUGUCAUCUGGGGCAUAACGUGCUAGUUCACUAAAUUCCUCCACAUACUGGCCAACUGUCCGUCCUCCUUGGCGCAAGUUGCGAAACUCACACUUCUUCAUGGCCAUAGCUCCUGCUGAAACAUGGGCAGUACGAAAAGCCUGCUGAAACUGGUCCCAUGUGACAGUGUCGACAGGGAAAGUGACUGUGAAAUUCUCCCACCAUGAUGCUGCGGGUCCUUCAAGCCGAUGUGCGGCAAACUUCACCUUCUCUGCAUCCGUGCAUCCUGCGGUGGUCAACUCUUUAGCUGUCUUGCGUAGCCAAUCAUCUGCUACUAUCAACUCGGUGCUACUGGAAAACACCGGAGGAUUCAGCCUAAGAAAACGGGCUAAGUGAUCAAUAGGUGGUGGUGGUGGUGGGUUGCUGUUGUUGUUCCCCUGAUUCUUAUUCUGGACUAGCAACUGCAUCAAUGUGUUCUGCUGCUGGAUCAACUGGGUGAGCUCCGAUGGAAAGGUAAAUCCGGGGUCACAUCUCGGAGGCAUCGGAGGGUUUAGAAAAGAUGAUAUUUAAGAAUAGAGGGGGUCUAAAGAGAAAACACUACCCAUAUGCACAUGAGGCAAAAGCAAACAAUUCACUUCAUUCAAUCAAACAAGGGCAUACAAUCGAGCUAACUAUCGCAAAGUGCUCGGACUACUAUAUUUACAUGGUGGACUACUACUACUGAUAAGGUGGUCUACUAGAAAUAUUCUUUGGUUGCAGACUCCAUGAUAUCUGCUCCAGCUUCAUCAACAUAAUCGUCAUCACUAUCAUAUGGAUCCGAAUCGGUGUCGUCGAUGAUGAUGUAGUCUUCCGGUCAAAUCUCCUUGGGUUCUUCGUCUUCAUCUACUGGUGUAGGGUCUCCCAUGAAUAUCUCGAUCUUCAUUGUUAGGUCGGCAUUCUUAUCCACCAAUACUUCAAUUUCCUCUUCAAUCUUCAGGUGUAGCCUUGAGUUCUUCCUCCAGUUCCUUGAUUCUAGUCUUAGCCUUCUUCAGAUCUAUCAUGUCGGUGCACAUCUGGUUCUCCUGUCGUCGAAUGUGCUGGUUUAACUCUUGGAUAAAAGCUACAAUUGAUCUAUCUUUCCUGGUGCUGAUCAUCUCCCAGUGCUCGUCUCGGCGCCCAAAAAUCUGGUAGAUAGUAUCCUUGAGAUCAUUGUGGUAGACUUCUCCAAUGCGUCCCAUGGCGAUGUGAGCUGCCAUGCUCUUUCCUAGACUCCAAGCUGGCGCAUCAAAAGAAAACUCCAUGGGCUCAGUGACUGGCAUGAACGUCCUUCCUGGAACUUGAACUUGAAUCAUCCGGCACUCUUCUUCAGGUAAAGUGGCGUUGUAGGUUCCGGUGAAGCUUGGUACUCCUAUGUUCAGGUAUCUAGUGACUUCCUUCAAGUAACGUCCAAAGGGUGUAUCUUCAUCCGGUUGCGUGAACUUGUUCCUUGCAUCCGCCAUCCUAAAAGAGUAGAAAAGAUGAGGAGUCAGAAGAGAAGAGGGUGAAUAGUGUUCUAGGUCUUUAGCUUAGUGGUCGUGUCCUACAGUCAGUGUGUGCUCUGAUAUCAUCUCUGUAGCGACCAGACCUCAAACAGUCUGAUCUCUAUGCUCCGGUGUCAUCCCUGGAUCAGUAAUGCUGACACCACACAGUACUCGGAGGAUUUAUAACAGAGUAGCAAUCACACACUUAUUACAUCGAGCAUCUCAAAAGAGAACUUAUUACAAUAAAUAUGGCUUAAGGCCAUCUAAUAACGAUAACAGCGGAAGGCUUGGAAGAUAAGUGAGUCCAUCAACUCCAACGGCAUCACUGAGUAUAGAACCAUGACCUAAAAACUCCUUAAUCGUCAUCUGAAAAGUCUGCAACAUUAAUGUUGCAGCCCGAAACGGGUCAACACAUGGAAUAUGCUGGCAAGGUAACACAUAGAGAAUAAUGGAAUGAAACAGCUAUACUAUAUGCAUAUUUGGCUAUUGGAAAGCUCUAUGGUUACAGUUUUACGUAAAGCCAAUUUUUCCCUACUUCAAAGGAAUAAAUUUAAUUACUAUCAUGGUGGUUGUUAAACAUUGAGAAUGGUUGACAGCAUCCUCAAUCCCAAUUAAGCAUCAUCAUUAAACAAAACCCAACAAAAUUAAUUUAGAGUAACAUGUUGAGAUUCACAUGAAAAUCCAGGUACUAGAUACUCAAGAUGUCCAUAACCGGGGACACGGCUAACCAUGAUUAUUUUAUUACACUCUGCAGAGGUUUGCGCACUUUUCCCCACAAGACUCGAUCACCUCCAUUUGGUUUCUCGCACUACAUGGUAUUUUAGAAGACGGAUGACCGAGACAUAGUCUUUCAGAAGCGCUAGCACCUUACGAUCGGGUAGACCAUACCACCUACAUGCCCUACAUCUGCUAGUCUACCACUGUAAGAGUUCGCACGACUUAGUCAACUAUGCUAGAGCCCAUAAUAGCUUGUGGCUGCACACGGAAGUUUCUAGUAUGAAUAGUCUAAUGAUCCCUUUGAGCGUGGGUGGCGGUCCAAAAGAAAACAGGCAAGUCUUGGAAUACCCAGGUGCCUCAAUCCACCCAGAUGUGUGUUUAAGUUUCCACCUUAGAUAAACCAUUAAUUAACAAACUCACAUCUGUCAUGGAUAUCACUCACCCAAUCCACGUCUACUAGCAUAGCAUGGCAGAAUAAGCAAAUGUAGAAGUAACUCCCAAAGGUUUGAUAAUAAACAGGUAAUAGGUACUACCUCAACUACUUCCCAUCCCACAAUUUAAUUAGAUCCUAAUCAUGCAAUGUUUGAGGAUUGAUCUAAUGCAAUAAAACUGGGUAGUAGGAGGUAUGAUCAAAGUGUUACUUGCCUUGCUGAUGAUCCGGGAAACCUAGCGAUUCGAAGUAACAAGCGGCGCACUCUGGGUACUCUAUCGCAAACAAACAAACAAGCAUACAAUAAGUACUCAUUUAAUGCGCAAGUAAAACUCAAAUAACAGAUCUAACUAGAAGGUUCACUUUAAGAACUCCGGUUUGCAAAAAGAAUCAAAUCAAACGAGGCAACGAAAGUCAAACGGCGAAAGAAAACAACUUCGUUCUACUAAUCUAGAUCUAAGGCAAAUUUUACAGUAGCAAAAACUUGUUUAAGUUGGUUAAACGGUUAGAGGGUUUCGAAACGAAACUCCAGGCGCUUGAAUCGCCUGAUUUCGAUAAACGAGCGAAAAGUUAUACUAAAACGAAAAUCGGAUCAAGAAUCGCGAUCAGAAAAAUCGCGGAUUAAAUCAAAAAAAAAGAAAAAUGACGAACGUUCGCUAGAACGAACGAACAGACGAACGCUCGCUAUUUAAAUAAAUUGGAAAAAACCGAUCUAUUAAACAAAUGAAUCUAAAAAAAACCAACGGAAAAACCGAACGGUUUUUCGAAAAAAAACAGGCGCUGAAAUCGAGGCGGCGGCAGACCUCGGGCGGCGUGCGGCGGCGGCGGCGGCGGGGCGGCGGGUGGCGGAGGGCUAGGGUUUGGGGCGCGUCGGGUGGGCUGUGGGGGUCGGGUCCCCCGGCUUAUAAAGCCUUCCCGGGCUGGUGUCUAGGUCGGACACGGCCCGUAGGUCGGUGCGAUUUUUUUUAAAUAAUUACGUGCGGAAGAAAAAUAAAAAGAAAUACUAAACGGACUCCAAAAAUCCCGAAAUAAAUUUUCCCGGUCUUUUAAAAUCAAGCCGCACAAGGUGAACAUUUAUUUGGGGGCCUAAAUGCAAUUUUGAAAAACGCACAUUUUUCCUAAAUUCAAAUAAAAUAACGAAAAACUCCGAAAUAAAAUCUUAUUUGAUUUUUUAUUAAAUCCUCAAUAUUUCUUUAUUUUGGGAAGUCAUUUUAUUCCCUCUCUCAUAUUUUUGUAAUAGAAAUAAUUGAUGAUAAAAUAAAUAAAACCAAAUGAUCCUAUUCUCAAAAUUUGAGAAAAACUGAAAUAUGAAAAUAACGAAAUCCCCAACUCUCUCCGAGGGUCCUUGAGUUGCGUAGAAUUCCUAGGAUCAACCAGAAAAGCAAUAAAAUAUGAUAUGCAAUGAUGAUCUAAUGUAUAACAUUCCAAAUUGAAAUUUUGGGAUGUUACAAGUAUCUAGGUGACAUUAGGGUUUUGGUUGAUUUGUGUCUUAAGGUGUUAUUCUAGUACGAACUCUAGGGCUGUUUGUGACACUUAUAGGAAUAGCCCAACAGAUUGAUUGGAAAGAAUAACUUUGAGGUGGUUUCGUACCCUACCAUAAUCUCUUCGUUCGUUCUCCGCUAUUAGUGACUUUGGAGUGACUCUUUGUUGCAUGUUGAGGGGUAGUUAUGUGAUCCAAUUAUGUUAGUAUUGUUGAGGGAACUUACACUAGCGAAAGUAUGAACCCUAGGCCUUAUUUCCUAUCAUUGCAAUACCGUUUACGCUCACUUUUAUUAUUAGUUACCUUGCUGUUUUUAUAUUUUCAGAUUACAAAAACUAUUAUAUACUAUCCAUAUACCACCUGUAUCACCAUCUCUUCGCCGAACUAGUGCACCUAUACAAUUUACCAUUGUAUUGGGUGUGUUGGGGACACAAGAGACUCUUUGUUAUUUGGUUACAGGGUUGCUUGAGAGAGACCAUCUUCAUCCUACACCUCCUACGGAUUGAUAAACCUUAGGUCAUCCACUUGAGGGAAAUUUGCUACUGUCCUACAAACCUCUGCACUUGGAGGCCCAACAACGUCUACAAGAAGAAGAUUGUGUAGUAGACACCACAGCCCUACCUAGGCACAAGAGAGAGGUCAGCACGUCGGUCUAAAUUCUAUGGCGCAGGGGUCUGGGCCCAUCGCCCAUUGCACACCCGCACGUUGCGUACGUGGCCGGUGAGCAGACCUAGCCUCCCUUAUACAAGAGCAGGUGUUCUAGUCCAACCCGGCGGGCGCCGCUUAGUCGCUGACGUCACAAAGGCUUCGGCUGAUACCACGAUGUCGAGUGCCCAUAACUGUUCCCGCGUAGUUGGUUAGUGCAUAUAGAUCAGUAGCCAGACUCAGAUCAAAUACCCAGAUCUCGUUAAGUGUGUUAUUUUGAAGUAACCGCGAACGCCGACCAGGGCCAGGCCCACCUCUCGCCUAGGUGGUCUUCGCCUGCCCUGUCGCCCCGCCUCAAAGUAACAGUCGGGGGCCGUCGAGAACCUAGGCCCACCACUACCUGGGUGGAACCACCUUCCCCUUCAGCCCCCAACAUCGGAAUCACUUGCGGGUACUCAACGAGCCAACCCGACUUUAGACACAACAUGUAUAGUAUGUAUGUAUAGCAUAUACCCGUGAUCAACACCAGACGUGAUCACGACCUGAUAGUAUAGCAUGGCAGACUGACAAGACCGUAGGGCCACUGAUGAUAAUCUAGCAUCCUAUACUAAGCAUUUAGGAUUGCAGGUAAGGUAUCAACAGUUGUAGCAACAAUGACAGGCUAUGCAACAGAAUAGGAUUAACGGAAAGCAGCAGCAUGCUACACUACUCUAAUGCAAGCAGUAGAGAAGAAUAGGCGAUAUCUGGUGAUCAAGGGGGAGGGGCUUGCCUGGUUGCUCUGGCAAGAAGGAGGGGUCAUCUUCGAUGUAGUGGAACACACGGACAUCGGCAGCGGUCUCGGAGUCUACCGGAAAUAAGUAACGGAGGGGGAACACAAUAAAUAACAGUAGGCCCAGUUGACUGCUUAGUCAGCAGUUAACUAUGGACCGGUUGACUGGUCAAACUGACCAUAGGGGCCCAUCAGUCUUUGACUAUUACUUAAUAGGUUUUAAUUAACAAGGGGUCCCACUUGUCAUACACAGUGAGUAAACUGACAUGGCCAUUUAUUUUAAUUAAUUGUGCGGGGCCCGCGGGUAAGUGGGUCAGUGGGGUAGGGUUAGUGUAAAAGUGGGGGAUUAGCCCCCCACUAAUGAACAGGGGGCCGGCUGGCCAGCCGCACACGGCUAGCAAAGGCCAUGGCCGAGGCGGCGAGCACGCAGGGAGGCGCGUCGGAGCGGCGACGGGCGUGGCCAGCGUGAGCGACGGCCGACGAGCGGGCAGGGGCGCGGGGGUGGGGGAGGGGGGGCUGAGGCGGAGGCGGGGUGCGGCAGCGGCAAAUGAGGCCAUAUGCGAGCGGGCGCAUAUGGUCGCCGACGGCCAUGGCUGGAGGCACGCCCGGGCGACCGAGGAAAGGAGCCAGCAGGAUGUGGCGUGGGCGCGGCCGACGAGUCGGCAGCAGACCCGGGGCAUGCCCCGGGCAUGGCCGGCGAGCCCGGGCAAGCGCAGCGCGGGCGACGACAGCAAGCAGCGGCGGACGAGCAUGGCCAGCAGCGCACAGGAGCGAGGGUACGCGGGCGGCGCGGUGCAGGGCUUGGCCGGAGCCCUCGCAAGCGCGGCGUGCGGCCAGGGAGGUGGCUGGAGCGGCAACAUCAUCGAUGACUGAGCGGCGGCGGCAGCGGGCAAAGCCACAACGGGGCAGUGCCUCGGUGUUGAGGCCCUGGCGGGAAGCAGGGUCGAAUGAGUGCGGGCGGUAGCGGUCGUGCGUGGGUGCGCACGGGGCGUCCAAGAUGCCGGCGGUAGCGCGGGCAGGGGCAUGGCGACCGCGAGCACGAGUGCGGGACGGGCGCGGCCACGGGGAACGACGAACUACGGCGCGACAACAAGGGAAAACGAGGGGGAGAGAGGGUUUUGGUAGAGGAGCUCACAACGGUGUCGCCGGUGAGCUCGAGGUGGCCGAGGACUGGACGGAACUAGGCGAAUCAACGACGAGAUGGUGACGUCCGUGACGGAGAAGAGCUCGAUGGUGAGGCUUGGAGCGGUCCUAGCUUGAACGGGUGCACGGGAUGGACGAAGACGAUAGAUGCGGAUCUCCUGAACGUCUUCCCACGCGAAGACGACGAUGGUGAGCACGGGGACGGGGAGGUCCGUGGUGGCGGCGACUCUGUUGCAUGCGGGAUAGAGGAGGGGGAGCAAGGGGAAGAGGAGNNNNNNNNNNNNNNNNNNNNNNNNNNNNNNNNNNNNNNNNNNNNNNNNNNNNNNNNNNNNNNNNNNNNNNNNNNNNNNNNNNNNNNNNNNNNNNNNNNNNNNNNNNNNNNNNNNNNNNNNNNNNNNNNNNNNNNNNNNNNNNNNNNNNNNNNNNNNNNNNNNNNNNNNNNNNNNNNNNNNNNNNNNNNNNNNNNNNNNNNNNNNNNNNNNNNNNNNNNNNNNNNNNNNNNNNNNNNNNNNNNNNNNNNNNNNNNNNNNGAUGUAGGGGACAAAGGGGGGCGUGGGAUGGCCGACACGCGCCAUGGCGCGGCCAUGGCCGGUUGGAUGCCCUCCAUGAUCCUUUGUCUCCUAUAGGAGGAAGGAGAGGUGGAGGUGGGUUGGUCCUGGUGCUGUGCACUUGGGCCUCAAGUGCACAAUGCCAGGUUUUGCCUCUUUUUUUAUAUUACUCUUGUUUCUCUUUCAUUUAUUUAGUUAUGUUUUCUAAUUCUUUUCAAAUGAUUUUAGCUUUAUGAAAUACAAAACUUGCACCACAAUUUGUGAUAUAUAUUAGGCCACUGCCACAGUAAGUUUGGUACUCAAAUAAAAUAUCUUGAAAUUUCUUAUAAUUUAAAAAGCAUUUAAAAUAUUGAUUUGGUCCUAGUUUUAAUAAUUUUAGGGCACUUAAACACUUUAUAAAUUGUUGGUUGCCAUCUGUUAAAUAGUUAGUGCAUAAUUGUAACCCUUUGAACAUUUUUAAUUCUUUGAUUUACGAAAACUAUAAUUUGACUUGUUAUUUGAAUUUGUAUUUGGACUAAGUUUGAAGCAAAUGAGUUUAGCAAAAUUUUAGCUAUGAUGACCUGGCAUCGUUAAUAGAGGUUUACUGUAACUUAACUAUCAGGGUGUCACAAAUCUCCUCUACUACAAGAAAUCCCGUCCCGAGAUUUAAGAGGUAGAGUGAGGGGAAAAAGAUUUGGUUUCAAAAUUCUAACAAAUCUUCUCCAUCUUGGUUGCUCUUCUCGAAGAGGUCGAUCCAUUACAUUGAUGCCUUCAUUCCUCUGUUUCAACCCUUCAUGAUGAAGUAGUCAUCCUUGUUCGGAAGUUCCCUCGUACUUACGAAAAUGUUAAGGGGUAUCUUCGGAAGAACUGAGCACUACAAUGUUGCUUAUCGGGUAGAUAACAUCAGGGAAGGUGGCGAAAAGUAACUCUCAAAUUGAAACUUAAGAAGAUAUCGAGAGCAAAGUUAGAAGGUACCAUGAUAAGUUUCAAACGGAUAGGCAAUCGUUCGAUGUCGGAAACAAGGUGUGAAAGGGGCUCAGAGCAUUAAGAAUAAGUAGUGCAUCUGAUACCAUAAUAGAUCACUAGGAAUGUGGCUUGUGAAUUGCAUACAAAGCCACGCACGAGGAAUAACUUUGGGUACAGGGGGUGUACAUGAGAGUUAGGUUUCGUUCCUGUGGAACUAUGGGUUAUGGGCCCACCAUGUGGGUUAAAAGUAGGAAGGGUGGUGACAUCUUGCGUGAUCAUGUAAUCAAGGCAUGUCAGAAUUGCCUGUCAUUUAUGUCGGCAACAACAUCGGUACCAAGGGCGAGGGACGAAGAGAACCAUUUUCCUGCUCGUCAAAACAAGGCGGACCAAUAGGCUAAGUUCUCGUCCAUCGGUGGUUACCGGAAUAUCAUCAACAAUAGUAACAGGGUCUUACUGACCGAGUUGUACACCAUGGUGUUUACAUAAGCAGGAGAAUAUUACUGCUUAGAUCAUAUAGAUCACCAAUAAGGUUAAACAAAACAAUGAAAAGGAAAAGGUGAUCAUCAGAUUUAAACAUAAAAAUGGAAAGGAAAAUGUGUUUAAACACAUAUUUCAGGGAUAUAUCCUUCCCAAGGGCAAGCAGAGCAUGAUAUCCAUGACAUGAUAUAAUGUAGAAAACUCUUUAGGUAUAGGGAGAGAAAUUCCCUGACAUUACCCAUACAAUGGUGUUUGGAUAAUUGAGCAGGAAACAGUUAGCAUUGGGCUUCAAAUGUUCUUGUUCAAAAUCGGAGUAUCAUAGACAUGCUUUGAGAUAGCAUUAGCAUGGUCUUUAGGUGAAGAUCAGACUUUAGAAACACAAAGGAUCCAUCAGGAACGGCUUGUAGAAUAAGUCUUACAAUUUCCUCAUGGAAGAAAGGAUAGCCUUGCUAAAAAGGAAACAGUAGCAAUAGGUCCUUCGGCCAUGUGUGCUAGGCAUGAUAUCACCUUACCAGGUCAUAUAAAGAUGUUAUAACUCCUGUAAGUAUGUUCCAACCAUCAUAUCUGACCGAGAUUCAGAUCCGAUUGGUGUCAGGAUACCUCAGACUCAAGAUGCAUGAGAAGAAAAGGUGCAACACAAAUUGACGAGAUGACAUUGUAAGAUCCUCGGGAACUGAACUACGGAAGCGAGUUCCAAAACAAGAGUUCGUCAUUAAAUGAAGGAGGGGUGAGGGGGUGGCUGAUUGACUCAGCGACAAUUCAUUGAGACUUGCAAAAGAUGGAUUUCCACACUUAUGUGAACAAGGGGAUAACAUUUCCCGGAUCAAAUGAUAUAAUGAUGUAUGUUAGAGGAAAAACAUACACAAUUAAACAUUGGCUGAAAGGUGCACCCGAAAUAUGGGCUUAGGUAGUACGAUCCAUGUUAUAAUGGUGAUUCGAUAAUCAAUGGCCUAAGGAUGUUUGACCAUUAACUCCAAAGCAAUAGGGUUGAUAGAAGGGCAGAAUCCAAACAACACCAUUCACCUGUUGAUAUCCCGGUUAGAAACAACACAAGAAAGAAUGGUGAUGGUGAGAAGUAUCACUAUACCAAGAAUUCUUAAGAGGUGGAGCAAUUCUCACAACAUUCUUGACAUAAAAUAUGGUAAUACUCCAAGGUAAAGAACAUAUGCUGGAUAGCAAGGGACUCAAGAUUCAAUCCAAAACAUGAACACAUUUGUGUUGAGGGAAGACAAGGAUGUUGUCGAUGAUAACACAAUUCAUCAAGGGGCAAGGAUGGUAUUUCUCACCAUGAAUUCGAUCGAUAUCUUGGAAGACCUCAGAAUAUUGAUGAUGAUCACAACACAGUUGUCGAGAGGUUUCAAGAAGAUGUAACCGAUCAGCGAUGACAUCAAGUCAAAGGAAUGAUGAAGCGAAAAAUUAUUGGAACCACGAGUACGACACAAACUCGAAAUCAAGCUUGUUGUUCAAGGCGAAAUGAUAUGACGAGGAAAAUCGACGUAAGCUUAGCUCAUCGUCGGAAGUGGUGCUCCGGGGAUAAGGACCAGGUAGCACAGUUAAAAAUUAGCCCAAUAAUGGUAUAGCCGAUCAGGCUAUGAAUGACGUGGAGGAUUAUUAAACUCAUAAGCAACGGAAAUUAAUUAGGGUUAUCGAACCGGAAUGCGGAAUAGGUUCACAUAUCGGUGUUCUCGGUUGACGACAACCCAGAACCCAGAAAAAUUGAAAUCGGUGAGAAAUAACAGUUGAUGAAGAGCCCAUAGGAAGUUAUGCAGUUCCAUGACAUUAUCAAGAUAUCAUAGUGUAAUACUCAAUGGUAGAUCAAAGUAAAGGUUGGACAGGUGCAAUGAUCUGCAUAAGACAAGUACUUUAACUUGUUCGAUAAAUGGUAUUAAUGAGAAAAUAUGGUUGGAACCAUGAUUGCAAAUGACCAAACAUAGAUACAGGACAAACUUAUAACAAGGGGAUUAUUAUCAUUUACAAGAAGCUUCGAUGAUAAGUUUCACAUUGGGUCCAUGGGCAUGAAUGCAAAGGCUCAAGGUCAACUCCCACUUCUUCCAUGCAUAACCUUUCAUUUUACUUCUCGCUUUUGAUGAAGCUGUAGUGUAGAAAUUUUAUCUAGCAAAAUACCAGAAGAGUAUGACUCGUGAAAACCUUCGAGUUCACACAUAAUAAGGAAGGCAUAGGUUCAACCCAUCAGGGUAUCAUGGAAACAUAUACCACAAGCUUCAAUAGUAAAUACCACCAGCUCGAAAACAGAGCAUGGUUGAGAAAGCAGAGGAUACAAUUUACCAAAGGCUUUAUAUAUCCGUGGAAAGGCUCACAAGGUUACUUGAAUAUGAAGGACACUGUCGGAUAAAAUCCAACAAAGGAUCUGGUGGUCCAUAAGGGAUCUGAUGUGAGUAUUGGUACCCAACCAGAAGAAAAAGAAUGCAACGAGAUCAGAAGAUAGAAGCAACUGACUAACUCAAAGCUCAAUUGCAAAGGAAUUAUGAAUUCCAAGUCAAGGGAUCAGAAGCAAUGCUCUGAUUUGGGAUGGAUAAGUCGAAUAGCCGUAAGGGUGCAAUCGACAGCAAUUUGAUUGGUCGAGAGCCAGCUCCUGUUCAAAAUGACGUCUGAUCUGCAAGGAUGAAUUCUAGGAUUUGAUUGAGUAUUGCGAGCAUUCGCAACUUAUUGAAUCAAUGGACUCAAAAUGAUAGUGACAAAGAAUGUCAAUAAGAUUACUAGACUUAUGGGAUUAACCAUAAUGCAAGCAAGCAAGAAUUUCAAGAGCAAUAGGUUGUUGAGGAUUUUUGGAAGAUUGAGUGGUAUUUCGAAGACUUCUAUGAAAUACAUGAAUACUGGGAAUGAGCGGAUACUCGGUAAGUGCGAGAAAUUAUCCAUAGGGGUAUUCAGGUUGCAAGAACUGCAAGGCAGUAAGAACAAAGUAUUCUCAAAACAAUAAAAAGAAUUUUAGGGUAUCUUGUAAUAACAAGAUCAACAGGGAAUGAUUGUAUGAAUGGAAAGUGUAUGUGGUUAUCCAUAGGGUUUAUCGAUGGAAUGGAAUUGCAAAAGCGAUGGAACCAAGUCUCGGGAGAAUAUCUGAGAGUAUUGUCAGAAUCUUCUGUUGAAGCAUUCGAUCGUUCAGACCGAGGGGCUCUCCGGGAGAAAGUAUUUACGAGAACCUAGAGUUAGAGUUAGCAAAUCAUUUAACCCGAAUAGGAGAGAGAUCAGAGUCCCAGAGUAUAUACGGGGAGUAAAAGAUACUAAUACCACCCAAUGGCGACGUGGGCCCAUGGGCCGCACAACCAAGUUAGUAAAACAAUUUUCAUCGACUAGACUCAACUUUGGCCAAGGAGUGUGGAAGGGGGAUUCCUACAGGCAGUCGGGUCUGAUACCAACUUGUGACGCCCCCGAUUCAAUCGUACACUAAUCAUACACGUAAACGUGUGCGAUCAAGAUCAGAGACUCACGAGAAGAUAUCACAACACAACUCUACAAAUAAAAUAAGUCAUACAAGCAUCAUAUUACAAGCCAGGGGCCUCGAGGGCUCGAAUACAAGAGCUCGAUCAUAGAUGAGUUAGUGGAAACAAAAAUAUCUGAGUACAGACAUAAGUUAAACAAGUUUUCCUUAAGAAGGCUAGCACAAACUGGGAUACAAAUCGAAAGAGGCGUAGGCCUCGUGCCUGGGAUCCUCCUAAACUACUCCUGGUUGUCGUUAGCGGCCUGCACGUAGUUGUAGGCACCUCCAGUGUAGUAGGAGUCGUCGUUAACGGUGGCGUCUUGCUCCUGGACUCCAACGUCUGGUCGCAUCAAUCGGGUGUAGAAAGAGGGAAAAGGGGGAGGAAAGCAACCGUGAGUAGUCAUCCAAAGUACUCGCAAGCAAGGAGCUACACUACAUAUGUAUGCAUUGGUAUCAAAUGGAAAAGGGGGUAACAUAUGUGGACUGAACUGCAGAAUGCCAGAAUAAGAGGGGGACAGCUAGUCCUAUCGAAGACUACACUUCUGGCUACCUCCAUCUUGCAGCAUGUAGAGGAGAGUAGAUGGUAAGUUCACCAAGUAGCAUCGCAUAGCAUAAUCCUAACCGAUGAUCCUCCCCUCGUCGCCCUGUGAGAGAGCGAUCACCAGUUGUAUCUGGCACUUGGAAGGGUGUGUUUUAUUAAGUAUCCGGUUCUAGUUGUCAUAAGGUCAAGGUACAACUCCAAGUCGUCCUGUUACCGAAGAUCACAGCUAUUCAAAUAGAUUAACUUCCCUGCAGGGGUGCACCACAUUUCCCAACAUGCUCGAUCCCCUUUGUCCGGACACACUUGUCUAGGUCAUGCCCGACCUCGGAAGAUCAACACGUUGCAGCCCUACCUAGGCACAACAGAGAGGUCAGCACACCGGUCUAAAUCCUAUGGCGCAGGGGUCUGGGCCCAUUGCCCAUUGCACACCUGCACGUUGCGUACGCGGUCGGUGAGCAGACCUAGCCUCCCUUAUACAAGAGCAGGCGUUCCAGUCCAACCCGGCGCGCGCCGCUCAGUCGCUAACGUCACGAAGGCUUCGGCUGAUACCACGACGUCGAGUGCCCAUAACUGUUCCCACGUAGUUGGUUAGUGCGUAUAGGCCAGUAGCCAGACUCAGAUCAAAUACCUAGAUCUCGUGGAGCGUGUUAUUUUGAAGUAACCGCGAACGCCGACCAAGGCCAAGCCCACCUCUCACCUAGGUGGUCUCCGCCUGCCCUGUUGCUCCGCCUCAAAGUAAUAGUCGGGGGCCGUCGGUAACCUAGGCCCACCACUACCUGGGUGGAACCACCUGCCCCUUCAGCCCCCAACAUCAGAAUCACUUGCGGGUACUCAACGAGCCGACCCGACUUUAGACACAACAUGUAUAGUAUGUAUGUAUAGCAUAUACCCGUGAUCAACACCGGACGUGAUCACGGCCCGAUAGUAUAGCAUGGCAGACUGACAAGAAUGUAUGGCCACUGGUGAUAAUAUAGCAUCCUAUACUAAGCAUUUAGGAUUGCAGGUAAGGUAUCAACAGUUGUAGCAACAAUGACAGGCUAUGCAACAGAAUAGGAUUAAUGAAAAGCAGUAGCAUGCUACACUACUCUAAUGCAAGCAGUAGAGAAGAAUAGGCGAUAUCUGGUGAUCAAGGGGGGGGGGGGCUUGCCUGGUUGCUCUGGCAAGAAGGAGGGGUCAUCUUCGAUGUAGUGGAACACACACACAUCGGCAGCGGUCUCGGAGUCUACCGGAAAUAAGUAACGGAGGGGGAACAUAGUAAAUAACAGAGUAAUCAAAUGUAACACAAAGCAAGAUGGGGCAAUACGUUGUGCUAGGGUGACCUAACGUAGGGACAGGUGAUACCGGUGAACGGGGGAAACAUCUGAGAAAGUAUUCCCGGUGUUUCGUGUUUUCGGACAGCCAAACCGGAGGGGGAAAGUUGUGUGUUCGCUAUGCUAGGGAUGUGUGGUGGACGAACAGGCAGCGUAUUCGGAUUCGUCUCGUCGUUCUGAGCAACUUUCAUAUAUAAAACUUUUUCAUCGGAGUUACGGUUUAUUUUAUAUGAUUUAUUGAAGUUUUAAAUGAUUUUUCAAAAUUUUCUGGAAUUAAUAUUAUUUCGAAUUAAAAGAAUAAAAUGUUAUGGGUACAUAGAGAGUGUACCCAAAGAGGUGCAUAUGUGGCUGACAGUGGGCCCAGUUGACUGCUUAGUCAGCAGUCAAUUGUGGACCAGUUGACUGGUCAAACUGAGCAUGGGGGCCCAUCAGUCUUUGACUAUUACUUAAUAGGAUUUAAUUAAAAGGGUAUAAUUAACAAGGGGUCCCACUUGUCAUACACAGUGACUAAACUGACAUGGCCAUUUAUUUAAUUAAUCGUGCAGGGCCUGCUGGUAAGUGGGUCAGUGGGGUAGGGUUAGUGUAAAAGUGGGGGAUUAGCCCCCCACUAAUGAACAGGGGGCCGGCUGGCCAGUAGCACACGACCAGCAAAGGCCAUAGUCGAGGCGGCGAGCACGCAGGAAGGCGCGUCGGAGCGGCGACGGGCAUGGCCAGNNNNNNNNNNNNNNNNNNNNNNNNNNNNNNNNNNNNNNNNNNNNNNNNNNNNNNNNNNNNNNNNNNNNNNNNNNNNNNNNNNNUGCGGGCGAGCGCAUAUGGUCGCCGGCGGCGACGGCUGGAGGCACGCUUGGGCGACCGAGGAAAGGAGCCAGCAGGCUGUGGCGAGGGCGCGGCCGACGAGUCGGCGGCAGACCCAGGGCAUGCCCCAGGCAUGGCUGGCGAGCCCGGGCAAGCGCAGCGCGGGCGACAGCAGCAAGAAGCGGUGGACGAGCAUGGCCGGCAGCGCACAAGAGCGAGGGUACGCGGGCGGCGCGGUGCAGGGCUUGGCCGGAGCCCUCGCAGGCGCGACAUGCGGCCAGGGAGGUGGCUGGAGCGCCAGGAGGAUCGAUGCCUGAGCGGCGGCAGCAGCGGGCAAAGCCACAACGGGGCAGCGCCUCGGUGUCGAGGCCCUGGAGGGAAGCAGGGUCGAGUGAGUGCGGGCGGAAGUGGUCGUGCAUGGGUGCGCACGAGGCGUCCAAGAUGCCGGCGGGAGCGUGGGCAGGGGCAUGUCGACCACGAGCACGAGCGCGGGGCAGGAGAGGCCACGAGGAAUGACGAACUAUGGCGCGACAGCAAGGGAAAACGAGGGGGAGAGGGUUUUGGUAGAGGAGCUCACAACGGUGUCGCCGGUGAGCUCGAGAUGGCCGAGGACUAGACGGAGCUAGGCGAAUCGACGGCGAGUUGGUGACGUCCGCGACGGAGAAGAGCUUGAUGGUGAGGCUUGGAGCGGUCCUAGCUUGAACGGGUGCACGAGAUGGACGAAGACGAUAGAUGCGGAUCUCCUGAACGUCUUCCCACGCGAAGACGACGAUGGUGAGUGCGGGGAAGGGGAGGUCCGGGGCGGCGGCGGCUCUGUUGCACGCGGGAUAGAGGAGGGGGAGCAAGGGGAAGAGGAGAGGGGCAGAUAGGGUUCACAGGGGGGGUUUGAGGGCGCCUUGUAGAUGUAGGGGACGAAGGGGGGCGCGGGAUGGCCGACACGCGCCAUGGCGCGGCCAUGGCCGGUUGGAUGCCCUCCACGAUCCCUUGUCUCCUAUAGGAGGAAGGAGAGGUGGAGGUGGGUUGGACCUGGUGCUGUGCACUUGGGCCUCAAGUGCACAGUGCCAGGUUUUGCCUCUUUUUUUAUAUUACUCUUGUUUCUUUUUAUUUAUUUAGUUAUGUUUUGUAAUUCUUUUCAAAUGAUUUUAGCUUUAUGAAAUACAAAACUUGCACCACAAUUUGUGAUAUAUAUAUAUUAGGCCACUGCCACAGUAAGUUUGGUACUCAAAUAAAAUAUCUUGAAAUUUCUUAUAAUUUAAAAAGCAUUUAAAAUAUUGAUUUGGUCCUAGUUUUAAUUAUUUUAGGGCACUUAAACACUUCAUAAAUUGUUGGUUGUCGUUUGUUAAAUAGUUAGUGCAUAAUUGUAACCCUUUGAACAUUUUUAAUUCUUUGAUUUACGAAAACUAUAAUUUGACUUGUUAUUUGAAUUUGUAUUUCGAAUAAGUUUGAAGCAAAUGAGUUUAGCAAAAUUUUAACUAUGAUGACCUGGCAUCAUUAACAGAGGUUUACUGUAACUUAAUUAUCGGGGUGUCACACUGCACCCCCAACCGAUAGUAUCAUACACUGCUCUCAUAUGCCACUUUAUUUACUUACUUGUGUAUAAUCCCAACACAUAGUUAUGGCUAGCAUUCAUUUCUUAUUAAUUUUCUCGAUUGACAUGCUAUGGUUCCAUGUCAUAUCAUUGUUUUGCUUUAAAGAAAUGCAUGAUACUCAUCUGAUGCUCACCCUGUGAGAGGUCGUACCAUCCUGAACCUUUGUGUGUUUAGCUCUGCCCCUCGCAUGAAGUGCUUAUGGAAGCGAUGUUGGCAUCGACCGCGCCUAGGUGUAACAACCCUACUUAAUGGUAAUGUAUAUUAGAGUUAACAGAUAAGCAUUGCAUUUCAUCAUGUCUACUUCCCUUUAAUGUGAAAUUGAGGAUAAUUUAGAACAUGUUGUUUAAAGGGCUUAAACCCUACCACCUUUGCAACGUACCCAAUGAAGGAAAUAUGCCCUAGAGGCAAUAAUAAAGUUGUUAUUUAUAUUUUCUUAUAUCAUGAUAAAUGUUUAUUAUUCAUGCUAGAAUUGUAUUAAACGGAAACUUAGUACAUGUGUGAAUACAUAGACAAACAGAGUGUCCCUAGUAUGCCUCUACUUGACUAGCUCGUUAAUCAAAGAUGGUUAAGUUUCCACACCAUAGACAUGUGUUGUCAUUUGAUGAAUGGGAUAACAUCAUUAGAGAAUGAUGUGAUGGACAAGACUCAUCCAUUAGCUUAGCAUUAUGAUCGUUUAGUUUUAUUGCUAUUGCUUUCUUCAUAACUUAUACAUGAAAUUAUGCAACUCCCGAAUACCGGAAGAACACAUUGUGUGCUAUCAAUCGUCACAACAUAACUGGGUGAUUAUAAAGUUGCUCUACAAGUGUCAAAGAUGGUGUUUGUUGAGUUGGCAUAGAUCGAGAUUAGGGUUUGUCACUCCAUGUAUCAGAGAGGUAUCUCUGGGCCCUCUUGGUAAUGCACAUCACUAUGAGCCUUGUAAGCAAUGUGACUAAUGAGUUAGUUAUAGGAUGAUGCAUUAUGGAACGACUAAAGAGACUUGCCGGUAACGAGAUUGAACUAGGUAUGAUGAUACCAACGAUCGAAUCUCGGGCAAGUAACAUACUGAUGACAAAGGGAAUGCCGCAUGUUGUUAUGCGGUUUGACCGAUAAAUAUCUUUGUAGAAUAUGUAGGAACCAAUAGGAGCAUCCAGGUUCUACUAUUGGUUAUUGACCGGAGAUGUGUCUCAGUCAUGUCUACAUAGUUCUCAAACCCGUAGGGUCCGCACGCUUAACGUUCGAUGAUGAUUCGUAUUAUGAGUUAUGUGUUUUGGUGACCGAAGUUUGUUCAGAGUCCCGGAUGAGAUCACAGACAUGACGAGGAGUCUCGAAAUGGCCGAGAGGGAAAGAUUCAUACAUUGGAAGGUUAUAUACGGACACUGGAAUGGUUCCGAAGAAGUUCAGAGAAUUUUCAGAAUACCGGGAGGUUACCGGACCCCCCCGGAAAGUUAAUGGGCCUCUUGGGCCAUAUUGGAGAGAGGGAGGAAGGCCACAAGAGGAGGCGCGAGCCUCCCCCUGCCCAAUCCGAAUUGGACAAGGGGUGGGGGCGCCCCCCUUUCCUUGUCCAUCUCCCCUUUUUUCCCUUUCCCCUCUCCGUUGGAAGGAAGGGGGGGAUCCUACUAGGAGUGGAGUCCUAGUAGGACCCCCCCAUGGCGCGCCACCCCUUGGGCCGGCCACCACCUCCACCCCUCCUUUAUAUACGGGGGCGGGGGCACCCCAAAGGCACAACAAUUGUUCUCUUAGCCGUGUGCGGUGCCCCCCUCCACAGUUUACUCCUCCGGUCAUAGCAUCAUAGUGCUUAGGCGAAGCCCUGGCGGAUCACAUCACUAUCACCGUCACCACGCCGUCGGGCUAAUGGAACUCUCCCUCGACCCUCUGCUAGAUCAAGAGUUCGAGGGACGUCAUCGAGCUGAACGUGUGCUGAACACGAAGGUGCCGUACGUUCGUUACUUGGAUCGGUAGGAUCGUGAAGACGUUUGACUACAUCAACCGCGUUAACCUAACGCUUCCGCUUUCGGUCUACGAGGGUACGUGGACACACUCUCCCCCUCUCAUUGCUAUGUAUCUCCUAGAUAGAUCUUGCAUGAUCGUAGGAUUUCUUUUGAAAUCACAUGCUAUGUUCCCCAACAGUGGCAUCCGAGCCAGGUCUAUGCGUAGAUGAUAUGCACGAGUAGAACACAAAGAGUUGUGGGCGAUAAUAGUCAUACUGCUUACCACCAACGUCUUACUUUGAUUCGGCUGUAUUGUUGGAUGAAGCGGCUCGGACCAACAUUACAUGACCAUGUUCAUGAGACCGGUUCUACCGACGUGCUUUGCACACAGGUGGCUGGCAGGAGUCUGUUUCUCCAACUUUAGUUGAAUCGAGUUUGACUAUGGCCGGUCCUUGUUGAAGGUUAAAAAAUCACACUUGACAAAAAAAUGUUGUGGUUUUGAUGCGUAGGUAAGAACAGUUCUUGCUAGAAGCCCGUAGCAGCCAUGUAAAACUUGCAACAACAAAGUAGAGGAUGUCUAACUUGUUUUUGUAGGGCAUGUUGUGAUGUGAUAUGGUCAAGACGUGAUGAGAUAUAAAUUGUUGUAUGAGAUGAUCAUGUUUUGUAAAAGUUAUCGGCAACUGGCAGGAGCCUUAUGGUUGUCGCUUUAUUGUAUGAAAUGCAAUCGCCAUGUAAUCGCUUUACUUUAGCACUAAGCGAUAGUGAUAGUCGUAGAAGAAAUAGUUGGCGAGACGACAACGACGCUAUGAUGAAGAUCAAGGUGUCAAGCCGGUGACGAUGCAGAUCAUGACGUUGCUUUGGAGAUGGAGAUCAAAGGCACAAGAUGACGAUGGCCAUAUCAUGUCACAUAUUUUGAUUGCAUGUGAUGUUUAUCUUUUAUGCAUCUUAUUUUGCUUAGUACGUCGGUAGCAUUAUAAGAUGAUCCCUCACUAAAUUUCAAGGUACAAGUGUUCUCCCUGAGUAUGCACCGUUGCUACAGUUUGUCGUGCCGAGAGACCAUGUGAUGAUCGGGUGUGAUAAGCUCUACGUUCACAUACAAUGGGUGCAAGCCAGUUUUGCACAUGCAGAAUACUCGGGUUAAACUUGAUGAGCCUAGCAUAUACAGAUAUGGCCUCGGAACACUGAGACCGAAAGGUCGAACGUGAAGCAUAUAGUAGAUAUGAUCAACAUAGUGAUGUUCACCAUUGAAAACUAGUCCAUCUCACGUGAUGAUCGGACAUGGUUUAGUUGAUAUGGAUCACAUGAUCAUUUAGAUGAAUAGAGGGAUGUCUAUCUAAGUGGGAGUUCUUAAGUAAUGUGAUUAAUUGAACUUUAAUUUAUCAUGAACUUAUCCCUGAUAGUUUUUGCAUAUCUAUGUUGUUGUAGAUCAAUGGCCUGUGCUACUGUUCCCUUGAAUUUCAAUGCGUUCCUAGAGAAAGCUAAGUUGAAAGAUGAUGGUAGCAACUACACGGACUGGGUCCGUAACUUGAGGAUUAUCCUCAUUGCUGCACAGAAGAAUUUCAUCCUGGAAGCACCGCUAGGUGCAAGGCCCGCUGCAGGAGCAACUCUAGACGUUAUGAACGUCUGGCAGAGCAAAGCUGAUGACUACUCGAUAGUUCAGUGUGCCAUGCUUUACGGCUUAGAAUCGGGACUUCAAAGACGUUUUGAACAUCGUGGAGGAUAUGAGAUCUUCCAGGAGUUGAAGUUAAUAUUUCAAGCAAAUGCCCGAGUUGAGAGAUAUGAAGUCUCCAACAAGUUCUAUAGCUUCAAAAUGGAGGAGAAUAGUUCUGUCAUUGAACACAUACUCGGAAUGUUAGGGUACCAUAACCACUUGACUCAGCUAGGAGUUAAUCUUCCUGAUGAUAGUGUCAUUUACAAAGUUCUUCAAUCACUGCCACCAAGCUAUAAAGGCUUCCUGAUAAAGUAUAAUAUGCAAGGGAUGGAAAAGACUAUUCCCGAGCUCUUCACAAUUGUUGGGGAUAUAGCUACCAGGUAUGACCCGCCCAGGAGGGGCCGGGUCAACCCCAAUGGCGGGUUACGAGAAGAAGCCCAGUAAAUAUUCAAGGUGAUAGUUUAUUAAGACUUGUAGAAAGCCUAAGCCCAGAGGCGGCUUAAGGCCCAAUAUUGUGAACCUACAUAUGUAGAAAAAGACUUGUAAAGAAAGGCAUAUAAAAGAAGUCAUAGAGCCGGACACGUUUUAUGAGCCGGCCGGGACUCUGUAGGCCGCCAGGCGUCAACCCAUGUAUAUAAGGGGACGACCCAGUGGCGGCUUAGGACAAGAAAACAAGAGAUCGAUAGCCAAGUUAGCAGAUUAGCUCCUUGGUCAUCGAAACCCCAGCAAUUCCAACACAACUAGACGUAGGCUUUUACCUUCAUCGUAAGGGGCCGAACUAGUAUAAACCUCUCGUGUCCUUUGUCCCGAUUAACCCCUUUAAUCUUCCUAGUUGCGACGACCCUACGACUAAGUCCUUUUGCUAGGACAUCUGCCGUGACAAUUCCACGACAGUUGGCGCCCACCGUGGGGCCAGCGCACGGUGGAUUUGAGUUCUUGAAGGGCAACUUCGAAGGGCUCAAGGGAUACGCUGUGGGCCGGAUGACCAAGAGUUGUUGCGGCAAGCUCUACAUCGACGACGAAGGCUGGGGCCCCGAGGCUGGCUCAAUUGAGUACGGGUACCGGGUCCCCUUCGGUGGAAUCCAUGUCUUCAUCGGCUGGAUCGGCGAGUCAGACUCUGAGCUGGACGUCUACACCAACCUUAUCGAGACGGCUCAGCGCGCGAGAUCCGCCCGGGCUCAACCUGCCGUGAGGCAUGCCUUCGUGGGUUGCAUCCAUGGAGGUGAAUUCUCUGAAGGAUCAGUGGAUGGCGGUGAGACAGCCAUCUGUUCUGAUGCUACGUCAUCAACAGGCGAGGCGGAUUCUUUGUAUCAGCUGCAAGAUGGCAUGCUUGGGGGCUGUUCCGAUGGCAGCAGUAUUCCGGACCCCUUUGAGCCGCCGAAUCGAACCGGAGUCUUCAUGGCUGGCACUCAAACUGGGCAGAACUCCACGGCUGCAGCAACAAUAACCACCGGGUCGGCAGCGGCCGGGUCAGGAGACCCCGCGCGCCCCCCGGCUCAGAUGCUAAUGGACCACAUGGAUAAGUUGACGGCUCUGUUGACUGCGGUGGUGGAGCCAGCGGAUAAGGCUCAGCAUGACGCGGAGGUGGCACGGCUACGCAAAGAGAUGGCACAGGCCAAGGAAAAUUUAGCAGCAGAAGAGGUCGGGAUGGCCGCGGAGCGGGUGGCUUUGGAUGCUCGUGCUCAGCAGCUUCAAGCAGAGACUUUCCGGCUCUCGGUGGAUCUGAACGUGUCAAACGAGGUCAUGAGGAGAAGGCACCAGAAAACUCAGUCACGUAUGCCUCUGAUGUACGAUCCUAGGAACCUUUUCCACACACCCGGGGCUGGUCCAUGUAACCCAUCGGAGGCAAACCAGAUCACGACACUCGGGGCUGGGGCGCCGGUUCAACCGCGGGCCAUGGAACCACCUCGUACGAAUACCGCUCCGCCUCAUUACACACCAAUACCACUGGGUCACUUUUCUAACCCUUUGGAGAAUCUCAUUGCUGUGUCGGCUUGUUUGGCGGCUCUCCCGAUGGAAGGCGACUCUCCAACAACAAUUGAAACACGAAGGGUGAGAGAACUUCUUCAGACGGCUCUGGUGCAGCAGGAUGCGUACUCUUACAGUCGCGACAGAAUCCAUUCAACCCCUCGCCCAAGCCGGAGCCCGAGCUAUAGCAGGCAUAUGGACUCAGCCGCUAUGUCGAGCAACGCUCAACACCGUAACCGACCGUGUAGGCAUGAGCCGGCGCAGGGUGGAGCCCUUAACUUGGCGGAUUAGGAGAGAAUCCGUCAAGAGGCUGAGUGGGCGGCUCAACUGGCAGCUGAGCAAGCGGCUCAUCAGGCUUUUCUGGUUUAUCCGGCAACCUCCGUUGAGGCAUGAGUAGCCACAAGAACAGGAGGCGUCCCUUGCUUGGUGCCGGCUAUACGUAAUGAGCGCUUGCCAAAAUACUUUAAGGGGCCUCGUAAGGUGCCUAAUUACAUGGCCGACUUGCAGCCUGGGGCAUGGAUUGAAAGUUAUGAGAUGGCGAUGAAGUUGUUGGAGGUCAGCGAUGCAGCAAUGGCUAAGUAUUUCACUAUGAUGUUGGAUGGAACGGCUCACACUUGAUUCAAAAGGAUUGCCACCCAAUUCCAUCGGCUCAUGGGCGGAGUUAAAGGCCCGGUUUAUUCAGAACUUCAAGGACACAUGUAAAGAACCUAUGUCAAUCGUGGACUUGACUAAUUGUAAGCAAGAGGAAGGUGAGUCCACGACCCAUUGGGUGCGCUGAGUCAAGGAGAUAAUACAUUCAUCUGAUAAGAUGGAUGCCGACUCGGCGGUCUUAAUGUUGGAGAAAAAUGCCGUUUUGAACCUUUGAAACAGAAGCUGGGGUGGCUCAAGCGUGACUGUAAUGACAUGGGCCAGUUGAUGGCGGCCCUGGUCAAAUAUGCUGACUCUGACAGUACCAAGGAUCCUGUGUCUGAUGAAGAAAAAACAGGGAAGGGAAAGAAGAACGGCAACGACAAGGGUCACCAGCAUAACCCGGCGAAUCAAGGACGUAAUAAACGUAAGGCUGGCGAGUUUGUGGCUAACACCAAUACACAAGGCAACAACCAACGGCGCAAGGGUAGGCCACCUCCUCGGUCAGGUGGGUCAGGUCCCACCCUCGAGCAACUACUGAAUGAACCUUGUCCAAGACACGACACCCGGGAGAAGCCAGCUACCCAUCUGUGGAAGGAUUGUACGAUCAUGAAGGCAUUUAAAAAUUCCGACAUGUUUGAUGGUAGCCACGGACCUGGCGGCGGUUCAGACGGAGGUGGCUUUCAUGGCCCGGGCGCCGGUUCAGGCGGAGGCGGUUUUCACGGUCAGGGCCAUCCGGGUAACCAGGGUGGUUAUAAUCAGCAACCCGGCCAAAGUAAUCAGUAGCAACAACAGCAAUAGUCUGGGUAUCAGAGCAACCCAAAACAGUUGAAUAGUGGGAAGUACCAUGUAUUUACCACUAGUUUAUGCAAGAGGGACCAGAAGCUUCAUAAGAGGGCUGUCAAUGUCGUUGAGCCGGCGAUUCCGUGUUAUUUGAGGUGGUCAGAACAACCUAUUGUGUGGAGCAGGGAAGAUCACCCUCCCCGGGUUGAUAAUCCGGGUCACUUGGCCUUGGUGGUGGCACCUCAGGUUGGUGGAUAUAAAUUCACUAAGGUGCUCAUGGAUGGAGGCAGUAUCAUCAACAUCCUCUAUUAUGAGACGUUUCGUCAGAUGGGGUUGACUGAUAAGAGUCUUAAACAAUCCAACACUGUUUUUCAUGGUGUUGUGCCUGGUAAGUCGGCAUACCCAGUUGGUAAGAUUGAACUGGAAGUAGCCUUUGGGGAUGAAUAUGAUUCCAGGGCUGAGAAGUUAAAUUUUGAGGUGGUUAAGAUCAAAAGCCCAUAUCAUGCUCUGUUUGGACGACCGGCUUAUGCCAAGUUCAUGGCCCGGCCGUGUUAUGUGUAUCUACAGCUCAAGAUGUCGGGUUAUAAAGGUACCGUCACAGUACAUGGAAGCCGGAAGAUAGCCCUGGAAUGUGAAGAAGGAGAUGUCGCUUAUGCUGAGUCUGUUUGUGCGACAAAGGAGUUAAAGUUUUAUAAAGAUAAUGUUGACCCGACAGACAUGACGUCUUUGAAGAAGCCAACUACGGAGCAUGAACCGGUGUUGAAAUUCAAGUCAGCUGAUGACACCAAGAUGGUGGAUUUUGUGCCUGGCGACUCAUCCAAACAGUUCAUCAUCAGUGCCAACUUGGAUCCAAAAUAGGAAAGCGCGCUCAUCGAGUUUAUCCGUGAGAACUGGGACAUCUUUGCAUGGAAACCUUCUGACAUGCCGGGUGUCCCGAGAGAACUCGCUGAGCACACUCUUAACAUUGAUCCGAAGUUUAAGCUGGUCAGGCAGUUCCUUCGGCGGUUUAACGAGGAAAGGUGCAAGGCCAUCGGAGAAGAGGUGGCCCGGCUCUUGGCGGCCGGGUUCAUUGUGGAAGUUUUUCACCCAGAGUGGUUGGCUAACCCGGUGCUCGUACUAAAAAAACGGCACCCGACGUAUGUGUGUGGAUUACACCGAUUUGAACAAAGCUUGUCCGACUGACCCUUUUGCUCUCCCUCGUAUUGAUCAGAUCAUUGAUGCUACGACGGGUUGUGAGCGUUUGAGUUUUCUGGAUGCCUAUUCAGGUUAUCAUCAGAUCAAGAUGGCAGUCAAGGACCAGCAGAAGACAGCUUUCAUCACUCCAUUCGGAGCCUUUUGCUAUGUGUCUAUGCCUUUUGGGCUUAAGAGUGCCCAGGCGACUUAUCAACGGUGUGUGCAGAAUUGCCUUCACAGUCAGAUUGGGCGUAAUGUUCAUGCUUAUGUGGAUGAUAUAGUGGUGAACUCCAGAGAGAAGGAAACCUUGAUGCUUAACCCGGCCAAGUGUGUUUUUGGAGUCCCAGCUGGCAAACUCUUGGGUUUUUUGGUGUCUAAUAGGGGUAUUGAGGCUAACCCGGAGAAAAUUAAGGCAAUCACAUCUCUGGCCAAACCGGUGUGCAUCAAUGACGUUUAGCGGCUGGUGGGUCGCGUCGCCGCCUUAAGCCGGUUCAUAAGCUGGUUAGGGGAGAAGGCGAUGCCUUUGUAUUAGAUGAUGAAAAAGGCGGAUUACUUUGUCUGGAGUGAUGCUACUAACUCUGCUUUUGAGGAUCUGAAGAAACAGCUCGCUGAGCCGCCGGUUCUUGCUGCUCCGGUUGAGAAAGAGCCAUUGUUGUUAUAUGUAGCUACUAACUCACGUGCUGUCAGUGUGGCCACUAUUGUGGAGCGCAAGGAGGCUGGCAAAAAACAUCCGGUCCAACGGCCGGUGUACUACGUUAGUGAGGUACUAAUUGAAUCUAAACAAAGGUAUCCACAUUGGCAGAAGCUCGUUUAUGGGGUGUUCAUGGCAAGCCGGAAGCUCAAACAUUAGUUUCAGGGUCACCCAAUCACUGUGGUUAGCUCUGCUCCUCUAGGAGACAUCAUUCAAAAUAGAGAAGCCACAGGACGAGUUGCCAAGUGGGCUAUUGAACUUGGGUCUCAUGGUUUGAAGUAUAUGGCACGUACUGUGAUCAAAUCUCAAGUGCUAGUUGACUUCAUUAACGACUGGAUAGAGUUGCAGAUGCCAGAGGAGAAACCAGACAACACAUAUUGGAUGAUUCAUUUUGAUGGGUCCAGACAGUUGGAAGGCUCAAGGGCUGGAGUUGUUUUAACUUCUCCUCGAGGGGACAAGUUUUGUUAUGUGUUGCGAUUGAUGUUUCCUUGUACUAACAACGCAGAAGAAUAUGAAGCCUUGAUCCAUGGUCUUCGAAUGGCUAAAGAGAUGAGUCUGAGCCGGGUCCGGUGCCUUGGCAAUUCAGAUUUGGUGGCUCAACAGGUGUCAGGCAAGUGGGAUUCCAAGGAUCCUCUCAUGGUGGCUUAUCUCCGCGAGGUCGACGCUGUUGCAGGGCAUUUUAAGGGUUAUCAAGUGGAACACAUUGACCGCAGAAAGAACGAAGCGGCCGAUGCCUUAAGACGGUUGGGAUCUCAGCGUAAGCCAGUACCCCCUAACACCUUUUUGGAUGUUUUACAUAACCCGUCUGUUAAGUUGCCUACAGAGGAAGAUUUGGCCAUUCCUGACCCGAAGGCACGGUUAGUGGAAGCUACUCAUGUUAUUCCAGAUUGGAUAGUACCAUUCCUGGCUUAUAUGACCCGGGGCAAGUUGCCAGAGGACGAGACCCUGGCCCGAUAGAUAACUCGGCGGUCCAAGUCAAUGACGAUUUCUGACGGAGAGUUGUAUCAUCGCAGUGUCACUGGAGCAUUUUAGCGUUGUGUUUCUCCUAAAGAAGGUCAAGAAAUACUUCGUGAGAUCCAUGAAGGGGAUUGUGGUCAUCACGCCGGGUCAAAGUCUCUUGUGGCCAAAGCUUUUCGUCAUGGUUUUUACUGGUUAACGACUCACGCUGAUGCAGAGGAUCUGGUCAGUAGGUGUGAUGGAUGUCAAAAAUUUGCACGACGAGCGCAUGUGUCGGCUCAAGAGUUGUGGAUGAUUCCAAUCACUUGGCCGUUUGUAGUUUGGGGGCUUGACAUGGUUGGACCUUUCAAAAGGUCUAAGGAUAAAAAGACACAUCUUUUAGUGGCAGUUGACAAAUUCACAAAAUGGGUUGAGGCAGAGCCAGUGAGUAAGUGUGAUGCAGCCAUGACAGUUCAGUUCAUGAAAAAGGUGAUUUUUCGCUUUGGUUUUCCACACAACAUUAUCACUGACAAUGGCACUAAUUUGUCCCAAGGUGCUAUGGAGGAGUUUUGUCAAGGUGAGCAUAUCUGGCUUGAUGUUUCUUCCGUAGCUCACCCUCAAUCUAAUGGUCAGGCUGAGAGAGCAAAUCAGGAAAUCCUAAAAGGUCUCAAGCCCCGGCUUAUGGUUCCCUUACAACGGACGCCGGGUUGUUGGGUAGAGGAAUUACCCUCGAUGUUGUGGAGUAUCAACACCACUCCUAACAGGUCUACAGGUUAUACACCUUUCUUCAUGGUUUAUGGAGCGGAAGCAGUGCUGCCCAGUGACAUCCGUCAUGACUCGCCUUGCGUGGCAGCUUAUGUUGAAGCUAAUAAUGAACAAGCCCGAUAGGAUGCACUUGACUUGUUAGAUGAGGAGAGAUACUUGGCGGCGGCUCGAUCAACAAUUUAUCAACAGGACCUGCAUCGUUAUCACAGCCGCUGAGUUAAGUCCAGGACCUUUCAAGAAGGUGACCUGGUGCUCCGGCUCAUCCAGGAUCUGUCAGAUGCACACAAAUUAUCUCUGCCUUGGGAAGUGUCGUGGAUCUAAGACUGACAAUAGAAUAGGGGGGUAGGAAUGUAGAGGCAAGAUCCUAGCUAUGGAGGAGUUGUACACACGAGUUUUACGAGUUCAGGCCCUUCUCGGAAGAAGUAACAGCCCUACGUCUCGGAGCCCGGAGGCGGUCGACUGAAUAUAUGCGUGUGAAUUACAGAAAGUGUGAACCCUUGUCCCAAAGGAGGGGGGUGGCUUAUAUAGAGUGCGCCAGGACCACAGAUCCCCUCCGUUACACAUGGUUAAAUGCCCAUAAAGGGGGAACGUUACUGGUAACGUCUGAAGUAAAGUGUUGUAAAUGCUCAUAAAGCUAUGGUUUAAACCCUGACCGUUGCAGAGUGAAAGGUUUCCCAUAUUCUGGUGGUUGAGUGUCUUCAAGGAGGUCUAGUGAGCACAUCUUCGUGGUCGAGCGGAUGAUGGUUUCUCUUCGACUACUUCUGAUUCUUUGUAGAGAUGUCCUUGGGGAGGGUAUGUUGGACAGAUCCAUGGCCCUACCCUAGGUACAUAGCUUCAUCAUUAGCCCCCGAAUGGAUCAGGGUUUGAGUGAGGAAGGAGUUGGGAACACUUCCGACCCAUUCUUUGUGCUAUGAUUAUAUCUUGUUCUGGAACAGUGAGUUGAGGGGACGACGUCGACUCCUUUCUUAGUCGCCUUGGUCCAUUCUUGGUUUUUGUCGAGUGAAUUUUCAUGGUAGAAUUCCGAAUGAUAAUGUAGAGGAUGUUUGUCUUCAGUCUGGCAAGUUUCUCUGCUCUCCGUGGAUUCCGCGAGAUUCCAAUUUUGGGUAGUGCGCCAGGCGGACGGAACCGUGGUUAUCGGGACGGAUUAGGCAAGUCUCCUCGAUCCCCGCACCACCUUUUUCGCCACGUACUACGCGUGCGACUGUUGCGGGAUUUGUUUAGAUCGUCUGGGUCCACCAGUCAGUCACUUGAAGGACGAUCUUAUAAAAGGCACCGGACUAGGCCUUUUCCCCGUGCGCUCCCAUUCUCUCUUCUUUUUCCCCCGAUCUCUCCGCCACACUCGCUUCCGCUCUCGUCGCCGGACCCUCGCUCGAGCUCGACCCGUCGCCAUGGGGAAGGAGAAGACGAUGGCGCUAGAACACGUGAAGAAGGCGACCGCGAAGGCGAAGGGCAAGCGAACCAGCCGGGGCGGAUCCUCGUCGAGAUCCGGCCUGCCGCCGGGCUGGAUCCAGGGCGACUGGAUCCGCUCGACAAUCACCCAGGAUGACCUCAACGACCUGGUGGAGGGGGACUGAUCCCCCACAAGUCGGCACGGCUCCCGGGGAACGAGACCGAGCCGCAACCAAGAGAGGGUGAGUGUGUUCUCCUCGCCACCCAUGUAGAUCGCGGAUUCUCACUGCCUCCCCAUCCUUUCUUCUGGUGCUUUUUGAACUUCUUUGGGGCUCAGCUCCACCAUUUCACUCCAAACACCAUAGUCUAUCUCGCUGUUUCGUGUUGAUGUGUGAAAACUUCUUGGGCUAUCGACCGCACUGGAGUCUUUUCAAACACAUCUUCACCUGCCGCUCCCAGUCAGUCAAAAAGGCCAACCCGAGUGACGAGAGGACACAAGUGAUCCAAAUGUGUGGGGGUCUGGGGAUCCAGAUGAGGAGCAAGAGUACCUUCCCAGCCAUGAUCCUUCCUGACUCGGUCCGGGGCUGGCAGUCGACAUCGUUCUACUGCAAGGAUCAGCCAACCCCGGGUCAGUCAACUGGACUUCCUCCUUUUUCCUUAGCUCGAGUGGAGAAGCCCGCCCCCCUGAAGGUGGUUCCAGAAGAGAAGGCGCAUGUCAAUGUGCUGGUCGAGCGGGUCAUCCAACUCGUCCGCAAUGGGGUGACCGGGAUGGACCUACUGGAGGUCUUUCUCGAUCGACGCAUCCAACCGCUUCUGGCACGUGAUCAUUCGAUGUGGAUGUACUCCGGGCUCGAGGACUCCACUCGGAUCCACCCGGAGGACGUCAGUGAAGAUACCUUGGAGAAGUGGUUGAUGGGGAUCACCAGCAACAAAGACAACCCUCGGGGGUCUAGGAGGGUGAUUCCAUUCGACAACUCGCAUCAGCCGGAGCAGGUGUGAUUCUGUUUUAUCAAGUAUCUUUCCGAUUCACUGUGUGACAUCUUGUUUAUGGUCAACUGAAUUUCCUUUGACCGUUGUCUUUUCAGGCCCUCAUCGACAUGUACUCAAUGCCCAACGGAGUGCAGGAGCAAGACGUCGAGGAAGAAGCGAGUGGGGGCGAGAGCUGCGAAUGGCACUCGGAUGCCGAGGAGGACGAGGAGAGCGAUGAAUCGACUGAUGACGAAGAAGUCGACUCGCCCCCUCACAGGGAGAGGAGAUCCAAACAUGCUCAUGACCCAGCGAGUGCUUCGGACCUGGUGGCCGUGCCGAUUGGACAGUCUUUGAAGUGUCCCAGGAUGUCUUCUCCAACACCGACUGAGAAGGCUCCAAAGCAGUCCAAAGUUGUGCCGCCUCUAGCACCGAAAGCACCGAAAGCUACCUCCUCCAAACUGCCAAAGGCUUUGCCCAGGAUCAAAGUGACCGUCCCCACUAUCUCCGGGUAAUCAUCUGACUUGUCUUUUUCGUCGACUCAAUUAACCGGAUGUAACCGACUGAAUGCGGGUCUUUGCAGUGCUGCUACAUCAGGAACCUCUUCUCUCCAGUACCGGGACAAGGAGAUGGAAGAUGCAGUUACCUCCAACCCAGGUAUAAACCCUUGUGAUUUUGUUCUUGAUUCCUUGGUCGAUUGCGUUCUAGUGGUUCACUUGGGGUCGAAUGAUCUGCCUUGCAGCUCCACCCAACGUCAUCGAUCUUCCAGAUGAUGAUGAAGAUGUGGCUCUUAAGCCCAUGAAGAGCAAGAAGGUAGCAGCCGGCAAGAUGUCUCGGCAAGAAUCAACUACAACACCUCCCGUCCGUCAACCUGAAGACGCGGGCAGGGCCUCUGUGACCUUCGCUGAACCCUUGUUGAGUGUGCACCCCGCACCGUCGACUGCACCUGUGAUUCCUUCAGCCGUCCAACUCCACACCACGGAGCUCCAAGCUGCCGCACAUGGGUCGUCUGCUCACUUUUUUACCAGCUACCCCGUCCCGGACAACCGGUCGGAAGCGGCUGCGGAAGCCAUCCGACAGGCUGACAUGAUGAUGGAGCGGGUGAAGACAGUGCAUGAGAACAGCCAGGCUGCCUACGACGCCAGCGCUGCUCUUCGGGCCAAUGUCCAGGUGAGUAGACUUUCCGACUGCUUUUGCUCUAUGAGGAUAUGUUACCCGAAAAAUCUUCUUCUACACAAUCUCCUAUUGUUUGCUUCGAAUUAGAGCACCCAAUGGGUGUUUUGUUGAUUUCAGUAGUUUUGUUCUUCCACUCGGUCUGGGUGAGUGGGAUCUGAACCGGUGGAGGUGAUGGGGUCAUGUACCUAGGGUAGGGUCACAGACCUGAUCUAAGUACCCUGCCCAAGGACACCCUUGGAAGAGGUCACCUUCCAGUCGACCAACGAGGGACUCACUCGACUGACUUGAAGGACUCGACCACGAAGACUCACUCGACCACCAGAAGGUCAAGAGGCACUCUGCACUGCAACGGCCUGUAAUUAAGUAGACUUUAUGAUAGUAAAGACACUUUAUGUGGGGCAUCACCUGUAACGCCCCGGACUAAAUACACCUUAAACCCUUCAUUACGUGGGCUGGCUGGGGUCCUGGCGCACUCUAUAUAAGCCACCCCCCUCCACAGGCAGAAGGGUUCGGCAUCCUGUAACUCAUAUACACAUAAUCCACUCGACCGCCUCCGGGCUCUGAGACGUAGGGCUUUUACUUCCUCCGAGAAGGGCCUGAACUCGUACAUCUCUUGUGUUUACAACCUCUCCAUAGCUAGGACCUUGCCUCUCCAUACCUACCCCCCACUCUACUGUCAGACUUAGAACCACGACAGUUGGCGCCCACCGUGGGGCGGGUGUUUUAGCGAUUUUGUGGAGAAGUUGCGAUUCUUCUGAGUACUUUCAUCAUGGUGGCUGCUGGAGUUUUGGUUGAGGGUCGAGAGAUCCGUCUCGGUGCUCUCACCUUCGUCGCCGACGACUCCGCCUGGCUCCAGGAGGCUCCACUCGACGUUGAUGCGCUCCCCGUCCGCGGUGCGACGCAUUUUCGCGCAUGUGUCCGCGGCGUUCUGCUGCGGCAACCGUCGACCCCAUAUCGGUCGACUCCCCCAUCGGCCACUCUCCCGGUCUCCCGCCAGCGCAGGCGCUCGGGCCGGUCGAGGCUUCAGUGGUGGGUGAGGCACGCGGUGGCUCGCCAGACGGCCACCACCCAAGUUGCGGCAAUCGAGCCCGACGAAUAUCUCUACGGCCUGUUCGAUCUGUCGACUGACUCCGUAGAGACUGCAUCCGAGUGCGAUAGCAGUGAUCCAGCGGCGGAAAUCCUGAUGGUCGACGGGCCCCGCAGUCCCCCUGGCUUCGCCCGUGAUGGUGGAGCAGGCGACGGAGGCGACCCCGCACGAGACCACGAAGAGUACCAGCCCGAGCCACUCGACUCUCUACAAAGAGAGGAACUUCACCGCAGGAACGUGGAUGCCCUGCGUACUCCCAUCGCAGGAGAAACCCCCGAGGCUCGCGCCUUGGAGGAGGCACGUUUGGCCAAUUUGGCCGAACGCACUCGACUGGAGAAUCUUCAGCGAGCACUCGACGAGCGCGCGCGGCAACGAGUUCCCGACACCAGUCGACGUCAACUCUUCCCACCGACUCAGGUAUAUCGAACCCCAAUCCAGAAUUUAGCAGCUGCGACCCGUAUAGCAGAGUCCAUCCAGCCCUCUCAGUCGGAAGCUGGCAGAGGCUUGUGCAGAUCAGGGAUCUGCUCCGGGCAGCAGGAGAUCAGAAUUCGGCCGUGUCGCAGUCGCGCAACAGAAUUCACAGUCGAUCCGUCGCUGCGAAUACGGUUCAGUCGGCUCACAGCCCCAGAUCGCCUCCACGGCGUGAAGGGCGCGAGAAUCGGCGAGACCAAUAUGGUGACCGACUCGACCGAGAUGAUAGGCGUCGAGUGCCCAAUUCCCCUCCGAGGGGUGGGUCUUACGCUCCUCGGCAGCAAGAUGACAGACGUCAGCUCAGUGCGGGGCGAAGAGUUCCAGUCGACCCCAGAGAACCAGGCUUUGACGCGUGAUCCAUUCUCGUGCAAGGCUUAGUCGACCGGAACAGAGCCCAUCGAGGUGGACUCGACAGAGAUGCGCCCACAAGCAGUCGAGUACAUGUUUCUGGUCCUGAAUGUUUCAGCAGAGCUAUCAGAGCCGCAGUUAUCCCUCCCAAUUUCAGGUUGGCAACAGGAGUCAGCAAGUUCACUGGUGAGUCUAAGCCUGAAACUUGGCUUGAGGACUACCGAGUGGCGGUUCAGAUUGGUGGUGGGAACGACGAGGUGGCCAUGAAGCAUUUGCCCCUCAUGCUGGAAGGUUCUGCCAGGGCAUGGUUGACUCAAUUACCUCCUAGCAGCAUUUACACUUGGGAAGAUCUGUCCCGAGUGUUCAUCACAACGUUUGAAGGAACUUGCAAGCGACCGGGUGGAUUGACGGAGCUGCAAGUCUGCGUGCAGAAGACCAAUGAGACUCUCAGGGAGUAUAUUCAGAGAUGGAUCACUUUGCACCAUACUGUGGAGAAUGUGUCUGAUCAUCAGGCAGUCUGCGCCUUUAAGGAUGGUGUCAAGAACAGAGAAUUGAGUUUGAAAUUUGGUCGAACCGGUGACAUGACCUUGAGUCGGAUGAUGGAGAUUGCUACCAAGUACGCCAACGGCGAAGAAGAAGACCGACUCCGAAGCGGCAAGCACAAGCCGAGUCAGUCGGAAAAGGGAAACACCAGUCGGAAACAUAAGCGGAAGGCUGAACUGGCAGCUCCUGGAGAGGCUCUGGCCGUGACUCAAGGAAAGUUUAAAGGGAAACCAAAAGGAUCCUGGAACCCUAAGAAGGUAAAGGAUAAAGAAGGGAAUGACGUGAUGGAUAUGCCGUGUCACAUCCACACGAAGAAAGACGAAGAGGGGAAUAUCAUCUACCCGAAGCAUACCACUCGCCAAUGUCGACUCCUGAUCCAGCAGUUUCAGGGAAAACAGUCUAAGGACAAGGAGAAGGAGUCGGACAAGGCCGCAGACAAGGAGGACAGUGAGGAAGGAUAUCCGCAUAUCAACUCCACUCUGAUGAUCUUUGCAGAUGUGGAAAGCAAGAGUCGAUUGAAAGUCAUUAACCGAGAGGUGAAAAUGGUCGCCCCAGCAAAAGCAAAUUAUCUGAGAUGGUCCCAAACACCCAUCACAUUCGACCAAUCUGAUCACCCGACUCAUAUUGCCACCCCUGGGAGGCAAGCUUUGGUGGUCGAUCCAGUUGUCGAAGGCACUCGACUGACAAAAGUGCUGAUGGACGGUGGUAGUGGGCUGAAUUUGUUGUAUGCAGACACGCUGAAAGGAAUGGGCAUUCCGAUGUCCCGACUGAGCACCAGUAACAUGAGCUUUCAUGGAGUUAUACCAGGGAAGAAAGCCGAGUCACUCGGCCAAAUAGCUCUGGACGUGGUGUUUGGUGAUUCGAAACAUUUUCGCAAAGAGAAGUUGACGUUUGAGGUCGUGGAUUUUCAUAGUGCAUAUCAUGCCAUUUUGGGGAGACCAGCUUAUGCACGGUUCAUGGCUCGACCAUGUUACGUGUACCUCAAAUUGAAGAUGCCCGGCCCCAAAGGAGUGAUCACUGUCACCGGUGAUCGGAAAAAGGCAGAAGAGUGCUUUCAGAAGGGCUCAAAGAUUGCCGAUUCCCAGGUGACAGCGGUCGAGUUCGAAGAAUACAAGCAAAACGCAGAUCCGAGUGAUUUGCUGCGAUCCAAGAAACCCGCCACAGAAUCUGCAUUUCAGUCGUCCGGUGAGACAAAGCCUGUUCACAUUCACCCGACCGACCCCGAUGCAGCUCCGACCCACAUCUCCACAACACUCGACCCGAAAUAGGAAGAAGCGCUCAUCCAGUUCCUCCGUGAGAACUGGGACAUUUUUGCAUGGAAGCCCGCUGACAUGCCAGGUGUUCCCAGGGGACUGGCUGAGCAUCGCCUAAGAGUCGACUCAUCUGCAAAACUAGUCAAAGAGCAUCUUCGGCGGUCCGCCGUCUAGAAGAGAAAAGCCAUUGGUGAGGAAGUGGCUCGACUGUUGGCGGCAGGAUUUAUCCGAGAGAUAUACCACUCCGAGUGGCUCGCUAAUGUCGUCAUGGUUCCUAAGAAGGACAAAUCGCUCCGAAUGUGCAUUGAUUUCAAGCACAUCAACCGGGCCUGCCCGAAAGAUCAUUUUCCUCUCCCUCGCAUAGAUCAAAUUGUUGACUCGACCGCGGGAUGCGAGAGACUGUCUUUUCUAGACGCCUACUCCGGGUACCACCAGAUCCGUCUGUACGGACCCGACGAGGUAAAAACAGCUUUCAUCACUCCAUUCGGGUGCUUCUGCUAUAUCACCAUGCCAUUCGGCCUCAAGAAUGCCGGAGCCACAUUUAUGCGAAUGAUUCAGAAGUGUCUACUCACUCAAAUCAGUCGGAAUGUGGAAGCGUAUAUGGAUGAUAUCGUCGUCAAGUCACGAAAAGGUUCCGACCUGCUUGCUGACCUUGCCGAAACAUUUGCCAACCUCAGAAGGUAUGAUAUCAAGCUUAAUCCAUCAAAGUGCACAUUCGGAGUUCCUGGUGGCAAGUUACUCGGUUUUCUCGUUUCCGAACGAGGAAUCGACGCUAAUCCAGAGAAGAUCGACACUAUUCUCCGAAUGAAACGCCCUGUGCGAGUGCACGAUGUCCAGAAGCUUACUGGAUGCUUGGCCGCAUUAAGUCGAUUCAUCUCACGACUCGGUGAAAAGGCAUUGCCUCUUUACCGACUGAUGAAAAAGGCAGACAAGUUCGAGUGGACUCCAGAAGCUGAUGCAGCGUUUGCCGAGCUAAAAGCUCUACUCUCCACCCAGCCGGUGCUUGCUGCUCCAAUCAGCAAAGAGCCUCUGUUGCUUUAUAUCGCAGCCACAGGACAAGUCGUCAGUACUGUGCUUACGGUCGAGCGGGAAGAAGAAGGAAAAGCUCUCAAAGUUCAGCGCCCAGUGUAUUAUUUGUCUGAAGUCUUGACUCCAUCCAAGCAGAGAUAUCCUCAUUAUCAGAAGCUUGUGUAUGGAAUAUACAUGACCACAAAGAAGGUUGCUCAUUAUUUCUCUGAUCAUUCCAUCACAGUCGUCAGCGAUGCUCCACUAUCAGAGAUUUUGCACAACAGAGAUGCAACUGGUCGAGUGGCUAAAUGGGCGAUUGAACUUCUUCCCCUUGAUAUCAAGUUUGAGGCAAAGAAAGCCAUUAAGUCCCAGGCAAUAGCAGAUUUCCUCGCCGAGUGGAUUGAACAACAGCAGCCGACUGAAGUUCACUCAGAGCAUUGGACCAUGUUCUUUGAUGGCUCUAAGAUGUUGAAUGGUUCCGGUGCUGGGGUUGUCCUGGUUUCCCCCAGAGGAGAUAAGCUCAGAUAUGUGCUCCAGAUUCACUUUGAUUCCUCCAACAAUGAGGCAGAAUAUGAGGCCCUCUUAUACGGAUUGCGCAUGGCCAUUUCACUCGGCGUCCGUCGCCUGAUGGUCUAUGGAGACUCGGAUUUAGUGGUCAACCAAGUGAUGAAGGAGUGGGACGUGAGAAGCCCAGCCAUGACUGGAUACUGCAGUGCAGUGAGGAAGCUGGAAAAGAAGUUCGAGGGGUUGGAGCUCCAUCAUAUACCCCGACUGAAAAAUCAAGCAGCUGAUGAUCUAGCAAAGAUAGGUUCCAAGAGAGAAGCCAUUCCGAGUGGUGUGUUCUUGGAGCAUAUACACACUCCGUCAGUCAAAGAAGAUCCUUUCACCGAAGAAGCUCCACAGCCCAAGAGUGCCACAGAUCCGACUGAGGUUGAAGUCCCAGCAGUGGUCGACUUGGCCAUGGAGGUCUUGGUGGUCAUUCCCGACUGGACAGUUCCAUAUAUCGCAUAUAUCCUGAGAAAAGAGCUCCCGGAGGAUGAGGAAGAGGCUCGACAGAUCGUCCGUCGAUCUAAGGCCUUUACCGUAAUCAAAGGACAAUUAUACAGAGAAAGCGCGACUGGAGUUGGUCAGAAGUGCAUAACACCAGAAGAAGGUCGAAUCAUCCUCAAUGAUAUCCACUCAGGAACCUGUGGUCAUCAUGCGUCCUCUCGGACCAUCGUGGCCAAAGCAUACCGAGCCGGAUUUUACUGGCCAAAGGCGAAUGAGAUGGCAAAGGAAAUAGUGGAUAAGUGCAAGGGAUGUCAGUUCUACUCGAAUAUGUCGCACAAGCCUGCAUCGGCUCUGAAGACCAUCCCACUCGUCUGGCCUUUCGCAGUAUGGGGGUUGGACAUGGUCGGUCCUUUGAGAAUAGGGCGAAGUGGCUUCACGCAUGCACUGGUGGCAGUCGACAGGUUCACCAAGUGGAUUGAGGCUAAACCAAUCAAGAACCUUGACGCCGGUGCUGCUGUUAGCUUCAUCAGGGAACUGAUAUUCAGAUAUGGAGUCCCGCACAGCAUCAUUACGGAUAAUGGGUCGAACUUUGACUCGGAGGAAUUCAGAGAUUUCUGUAACUCUCAAGGCACACGAGUCGACUACGCUUCAGUCGCUCAUCCGCAGUCGAAUGGACAAGCAGAGCGAGCCAAUGGCCUGAUUCUCAAGGGAUUGAAACCCCGACUAAUGCGUGAUCUCAAGCAUGCAGCUGGAGCUUGGGUCGAUGAACUUCCCUCGGUGCUUUGGGGACUGCGGACCACACCUAAUCGGUCGACCGGAAGAACUCCAUUCUUCUUGGUCUACGGAGCUGAAGCAGUCUUACCGAGUGAUCUUCUCCACAAUGCUCCUCGAGUUGAAAUCUACAACGAAGCAGAAGCUGAACAAGCGCGGCAGGACGCAGUCGACCUUUUAGAGGAAGAAAGGGAGAUGGCUCUGAUCCGGUCGACCAUUUACCAACAAGAUUUGCGUCGUUUCCACGCCAGAAAUGUGAGGGGUCGAGCCUUCCAGGAAGGAGAUUUAGUUCUCCGAGUGGAUCAGAAGAAACAACACAAGCUUGCUCCUUCUUGGGAAGGACCCUUUAUCGUCACCAAAGUUCUCCACAACGGGGCGUACCAUCUUUACAACGUCGAGCAUAAUAUCGACGAGCCCCGAGCUUGGAACGCGGAACUACUCCGCCCAUUUUACACUUAAGUUUAAUCACUCGGAUGAGUUGCAAUAAAGUACUUCUGUAGUCCAUGGACCUCAAAAUAAUAGUGUCAUAGUUCCUCCAUAAUUUUUGUCACUUUUUAUUUUGUCCAAUAAAAUUUCCCCUCAGUGGGUGACUUAGCCGCGAAUCCGUUUCGCCUAAGUUUGUAAAAAUCCUACCGAGUGGUGAGCCAGACUCCCACUCGGAGGCUUAGUUGCGAAUCCGUUUCGCCUAAGAUUAAAUAAAAUCCUACCGAGUGGUAAGCCAGACUUCCACUCGAAGGCUUAGCUGCGAAUCCGUUUCGCCUAAGAUUAAAUAAAAUCCUACCGAGUGGUAAGCCAGACUUCCACUCGGAGGCUUAGCUNNNNNNNNNNUAAGAUAUAAAAAUCCUACCGAGUGAAGAGCAAACCUCUCACUCGGGGGCUUAGCUGCAGCCCAGCGCUCGCCUAAGUUAUCAAAAUCCUACCGAGUGAAGAGCAAACCUCUCACUCGGAGGCUUAGCUGCAGCCCAGUGCUCGCCUAAGAUAUAAAAAUCCUACCGAGUGAAGAGCAAACCUCUCACUCGGGGGCUUAGCUGCAGCCCAGGCGCUCGCCUAAGUUAUCAAAAUCCUACCGAGUGAAGAGCAAACCUCUCACUCGGAGGCUUAGCUGCAGCCCAGCGCUCAUCUAAGUGGACUAAGGAAUAAGUCGAUUGCAGUAAGCGCCCUGCUUUGAACCUGCAAAAGACAUUUCGAGCCAAAAGCAAUCAUAUUCAAACGCCAAAUUCAAGUUCGGAUCGAUACCUAAAGGAACUGAAAGUGCUCAGGCGCUAAGCCCGUUAAGGUUUAUCGGUUACAUCUCCACUCGGCAUACCGAGGCAAAUUUAAAGCGUCGAGCUUAGAAGAAGUUUUUUACCCCUCCUGAGGAGGGCUGGAAGGUGCAACAAACUCAUCAAGAUCAAUUCCAUCUGCGAUCCGAGUGGCAGCCGCAAGGAAAGUUUCCAUAAAGGACCUGAAGUCGUGUUUCUUGGUGUUGGCCACCCGGAGGGCCGCCAGCUUGUCUUCUCGCGCAUCUUUGCAGUGGACUCGGGCCAGACACAGAGCAACAUCUGCACCGCACUAAGCCGAUGACUUUUCCACUCCUGCACUCGACCAGGGAUCGUGUUCAAGCGAGCCAUCAGCGACUCGAGAUCAUUCUGAAGUGUCUCCCCGGGCCAGAGCGUCGAGUCGAUGCGAGAUGUGGCGACCUUCAGCCUUGCAAGAUAGUCCACGACAGCUGCAACACGGGACUCCAGUCGGAAAACAUUCAUGGCAACUUCGUCGUUCAUCGGAGAAUUGACGGGGUCAAGGUUUGGUUCCAGCCGGCUAGUUUCUUCUUCAAAGUUUUGACAAAAUUCUGCAAGGACGAUCACCGAGUCAAGGCAAUGGUCGAAUGGAAAAACCACGGUUGGAAAUGAUUGCCGAGCAUAGAGAUUUACCUUCAAGCAUAAGAAACAGCUUCUUGGCAAGACCAUUCAGGAAGGCCUCCAGAUCUUUUUUCUUCCCAAGAGCAGCUUUCAGAUUGGCAUUUUCUUGCUCAAGCUUGGCGACUGAAGCUAACUUCUCGUCAACAAGCUUGAUCUUCUCAGCUAGUUCAAGGUCCUUCUUCCGUUGGGCCUCCCUCACCUUACCUGCAAGUUACAGCAAGAUCAGAUUUUGAAACAAAUGAAGGGAAAAAGCAGUCGUCAAGGUCUCACCAAACAUACCUUCGGUCUCCUCCUUUGCCUUCGUCAGAUUCUCCUGAACCAGCUUCAAUUUCAGCUCGAGCUGAAUGUGCUUGUUUUCCAGCUCAGAGUAGCGAGCCACAAGAUCACAGGAGUUCUGCAAAGAACCAAUCGACUAAAUGUCAAAUAUAAUUCACUUCCAAGUGGAAAAGGAAAAAUCAUGCGUUUCUAAGACUACAGCCGAAUACAAGCAUUCGACCGUAGUCUCGGGGACUACACCCAGUGGGUGCACUCAGCGUGCCCCCACUAAUCCUAUUGAAGAUAGAGUCGACCAGUCGACCUAAAAAAAA